GAGAAUGGUCUUCAAUCCAAAAAUACACAAAAUAAAAAAUUGUAGUCAAUCGUAAUUGAAAUACAACAUAAACAUUUGCCAUUUACAGCGAUUUAUAUUGUUGCCAAUAACAAUUGGGUUGCAAAGAAAAGGACGAAGAGAAGAGAAGAGAUCAUGUGUUGGAGAAUUACAAUACGAAAAUACAAAAAUAAUAAAUAAAAGAAAUAUUUUCUCUUCCAAGAAGAACGCACUUCAUGAUGUUAAUUUCAAAAACUACGUACUAACACAGCAUAAAUAUCACAACCUUAACUGGUUCUGAUCUUUUUGGCAGGAGUAUUUGUACCAGUGAUAACCAUAAAGAGUGAUUCGAGAUUGUCUGGAACCUUAAAAAAGCAUUGUGAUUGUGAAGGCCAUAACCUCCUAAAAUUUCUUCUGGCAGCUUGGCGAGGUUUCUUGGGUGGUGGUGGGCACACUAAUGGUGGUUGCUUCGCCAUCACGUGAGCAGCAGGUGACUUGGGUGUGUGGCAUUCUUCUUCAUGUUCCAAAUGCAAAAGCUCCUCCGCCGCGGCUGCCUCCUCCUCCUCCUCCUCCUUUGUGUUGUUUAAAGCUCGUGGAAUAGGAAUGACAACUCGCACUGGAGUUAUUGGCCUGAAUUGGUCUUCUGAUAUAUCAAGACCCAUUUUUUCUUGGGACUUGGGAGUUAGAAAAGUUUUCUUGGCUGAAACAAUUAAGCUUGCUAGGUCGUGUAAAUUAAUAAAUUGUGGCCAGAAAGGGAAAAAGAAGGCGUGCUGAGGAAAUCGAGAGGGUGUUAUGAUGGAUGGUGCUGAAGGAGAGGCAGAUAUCAACAUGAGAGAGAGAGAGAGAGAGAGAGAGAGAGAGAUUGAGGGUAUACACGAUGUGAUUGAGGGUAUACACACCACUACACGCUAAUAUGUAAACAAGACUGCACAUGGGAAUGAUGAAAAAGUAGCAACCAAAAGUGUUGGAAUACUGCGAUGCAAGACAAGGCAAUAUUAAAGAAAUAAUAAAUAUUGGAGUGUUUUUCUUCCCACCCAGCAAAUUUUGAACUUCUCAUUUCGCCCCUUAGGUUGAAGCCUAAACCUAAACAAAAAAACAAUAUCAGAUAAAUAUGCAGAACUGUCCACUGAUACCCCAACUACUUCCUACCUCCGCCUCCUGCAGAACACACUCUCUCCAUAAACGAAAUCGGACAAUGUUUUAAAUCAGUCAUGCAUAGGGAUGGGCAAUAGUUAUGGCGUGCGGGUAACCGCGAUUAUUUACCUAUAACCGUUUAUGCUCAUACUUGCAUAACCGUUGGGUAAGUGCCUAAAUGGUUAUACUCAUACUCAUACUUGUUUAUAAAUGGUUAACCAUACCCAUAACCGCAUACCCAUUAAACUGUAACCGUUUAAUACCCAUUUACCCUUUUUAACCCAUUUAUCUUUUUUUUUUACCAUUACCCCUUUUUCACUCUUCUACAUGUUUUUUAACAACUUGAAAAUUAAAAAAAAAAUGUCAUAAUUUUCUUUUUUUUUGACAAUUAAAUACCGUUAUAGGUACAUUCAUCAUACAUUUCCGUAUUUUAAUUUUUUAAGUCCUUAUAUCAUUCCAAUAGUUGAAAUAAUAGUUUACGGACGAUAUUUUUAACUGUUACCAAUGAAGGUAAAUAUAAUAUUUGCUAAGUAUUAUUGGGUUACAAAGAUAGUUUAGAAGACAUUUCUGUCAAAUCAUUUCUGUCAAUUUCACGGUUACCUGCAAUGAAUUUAAAUUAAUUUUGCUAAUUCCUUGAUGAUGAGAAUCAUCAUUCCUGUAGCAGUGUUAUUGAGAGAAUGACCGAUGAAUUUCCUGCUAAUUUAUUGGGUGCUAAGUAUUAUUAGAUUGAGAACAUGGUUUGCGUUAAUUUUAUAUAUAUAUAAUAAUAGGUAAACGGUUACCCGUUUAUAACCGCGGUUAAGCUCAUUUAAAUUUUACGGAUAAAUAAUUAUACCCAUAAUUAUUUAUUUAUCUAAACGGUUACCCAUAACCGUAACCGUUUAAUUUAAAUCGGUGGGUAACCGUGGUUACGCAUAACCAAUGUGUAUUUAUCCAUCCCUAGUCAUGCAACACCAAGAAAGUUAACGUGUGGCGUGGUGCAAUUGUUUGGGACACCGUCACAUUGCCCCUGAUGUUUAUCUAUCUCCUCAACGGCUCUCUAUGUCAACAUCUCGAUGAGAGAAAGAACGAGAAAUGGAGAAAGACAGUUACAAGGGACGGGGAGGCGGUGAAAAAGGAGAUGGGGGUGUCGGGGUAGCUGCCAACAUAACAGCUCCAACACUUUGCUUUUUCCUCUUUCUCUGGUCUUUGGUUUUUGUUUAAAGGGCAAACUGGGAACACUACAAAAUUUGUUGGGUGGAAAUUACUUUGCUGGUUAGAAUACAGAAGCAAUCGUCAACUAAUUGUGAUCCAGUGAGUGAGUGACUGACAAGACUUCCACUCAUCACUCAUGACAUUUCAAGUUUUUGCUUUUUUCUGUCUAAACCAUGUUGGCCUGCAUGUUUAAUUUUCACACUACAACUUUACUUUCAAGUUGUUUGUCCCUGCUGCUCCUCAUAAGUAUAGUGCUCCUCUUCCCUAAGCAUGUAGAUUUAAUGUUUUACACCAAUUGGCCAUACUAAUUAUCUCUAAUGUUAAUUCUUAGAAAACAAAUUAAAUUAAGUACAGCAUUGUUCAUGUAUGUAUUAUGUUGCACGUCAGUGAUUUAUUUUACAAAGUUUGAGAAGGAGAAGUUCUUCUCGUCCCAUGUGUGGAUAAGUGCUUUACCACUAGAUUAUACAGACUAACAAUUAAGUACAAUAGAUUAAUUUGUUCUAUGAAAAUAAGUCCAUGAAAGUGUUUACUGAUUUUAUACUUAUCCUUGUUCUCUAAUCUCUGUUAAGAAUUUGAUCUUGAGCAAUGAUGAUGAACAGUUUGCUUAAGAUCCAAAACUAAUAGUAAUAUUAAGCUGCAGACUGCAGCGACAGGCAAAGUCUGCUGAAGUCACAUUAUCCACUCUCUUUAUUGGAUUGUAUAAUACGGUAAAGGCAAAAAUAACAAACUGUGCGGCAUCACAUUCACAUGUCCGUGCUGCUAGCUGCAGGUGCAUGCGUAUUUAUUCAUAUGAAAUAUUCUACGAUGAAUCCGAGUAUAAGAUACUCUGAGUUUUUUUACUAUUACAUCUUGAUUUUGACAUUUUUAAUUAAAGAUAUGAUUAAAAAAUCUCAAGUAUUCAAUACUUUGGAGAACCAUAAAAUCUCGUCAAAACGUUGCUUAAUCAAGAAAAAUGAAAAUAGAAUUUGAAAACUGGCGAAGAAAAAUCAAGUACAUACUGUAUGGGGAACAAUAGUCUUCCAUGUUUCUUUUUUCUUUUUUUAAUAAAAAGGUUGUUUCCAUAGUUCAUGUUAGACCAACCUUGGAUUCGGCUCAUAAUAAGCGAGGCUAUUAUCAGUUGGUCCGCAAUUGAUCGGCUUAUUGAGUGCCGGAACUGCAGGAAAAAUUAAAACUUUGGUGUGGCCUAAGUUCCUAACUUAGUGCUUGAUCAUGCUGAAAGACACAACAAAGUCACUUAAAUUUGACGUGCUCAGGUUUCAUUGUCCACCAAGUUAAGGAUUAAAAAACGAAAACUGAAAAUUGUAUAAGAAAUGGAAAAAAAACACAUGGACAACCCAGUCGGCAUACGAACCACCUCCCUUGUCGGAGUCGGCGUCGCCCAACUCUUGCUGUUGAAAAUUAUAGUUUACUAGGAGCAGAAAAGAUGUGAAAAAGCCGUGGAACUGAAGUAGUUAUUCAUUUACUGUUAAAGGAUGCAAAGGCAAAGGAAAUGGGACACUCAAACAAUCAAACAAAUAUCUCUCUAGAAAACAAACAAAUGCACCCUUUUCAUUUCAAAGCUUUAUUCUAUUUAGCAAACUUAGCUCCUUUUAUUUCAAAGCUUUAUUCAAUAUUGCAAGCUCUUUCAUUUAUUUCAAUUAAAGUCAAAACCCUCUGUCAAUUCAUCAUAGCUUUGUUAUUUACAAGUAUUCCUCUUUAAAUCUCUCUCUUCUAAUAGCUAAAAGCAUUUCAAUACAUUAUCUCUCUUUGGAGUAUUACUGUCAUUUCAAUGCAAGCUUGAUUCAACAUACAUAUUGUGAUUGUGAUUGAUCUAUCUACAUAAGGAACUUAAGUUGAGCAUGUCCCAUUCAAUGACACAAUUUCUUGGUUAGAAGUCAAUUACGUGCAAUCCCCAUCACUAAAAUCCCAUCUGGUAGCGGUAACUAGUAGUAGCACACUUACCAUCUCCAAAUUCCUUUUGUAGUUCAAAGUUCCUUUCCUUCUUGUUCAUUUUACUCAAACUUCAAAAGCUCUGUUGCAUUGCUUGUAGAAUUGAUUUCCUGUAUUAGAACUUACUUUCCAAACACUCUCCUUACUUGCAAGAACUUGCCCGAUUGGCAUUGGUACUUGCCUGACAGGCACUGGAGCUUGCGCAACUGGCAUCGGAGCUUGCCCGAUUAGGCUUAUACUUUGCCCCGAAUAUUGUAUUUUCCAUUUCUAUCACCCUUUUUAUGCAAGUUAUUAUUUUGUUGACUAACAUUUAAUAAGCAUCUAACUGUCCUUUAUUUCCUGUUUUUCCUUUCUGUCAUUAUUUGCAUUAUUUUCAGUCUUUAUAUUUACUUGAUUGUUGCAAACUAAGUUAGACUCAGCUCUAAUUAGUUUGUGGCUGCCUUUUGGCAUAAACACAAAGAAAUUAUUAAGUUCUUGGGGACAAGGCAAAGAAAAUAACUUAACAUAGAUUAAGCCCCUCUAUGGCCCUGUCUUUUGAUUUGAAGCUCGAUUUACUUGUGGUUCAAGCAAACAACUUAAUAAACAACAUACAAUCAAUCAAUUUGUUGGUCUGAGCCAAUAGUGGCACACCUGAAAACAACUAACUCCUUUAAGAUAGCCUCAAGGCUUGGCCAAGGCUUCCUAAAAGCACCCUUAAACUGACAUUGUUUUCACCAUACUUGCAGGGGGAAAUAUGGCGCCAACACAUGCAACUUCAGUGUCUUGAUUAAUAUAUACGUUAGCAAUUUCGUCUUCACUAAUGUAAUGAAUCUUGGAACAACUUCAUUAAAAUGUUAGAACUGAAUUUUUGGACAACUUGAUAAUUAUUAUUGGCCUUGCAUCACAUAUAAAUUUAAUUUAGAAAGCGAUAAUCAUCAUUUGUCAAAUUGAAUUUUAUAGAAAAGGAAAACUAACGAAAAGGGCUUGAAAAUUUUAAGUUUUAACGAUAAGGACAAAAUAAAGGGUAAAGUGAAUAGUACCAGGAUUGACUUUUUAUUGUAAAAAUGUGGUUCGUUAAAGUGAACAGUACCGUGAGCUUUUCGUUAAAACUCAUUUUUAAAAAUCCACGAUCCAUAUAGGCUUUGGUUCAAUUUAUAAAUCGAUAAAAAUAGCUUUCAAGUUCAAUUAGCAUUAUCCCAGACCUUUUUUUUAUCCAGCCUCAAUAGGCAAAAUCCAAAUCUUAACAACACACACGUGUGCAUAUUUCAGGCUCCAUAAAGCGUAUCAAUUUAUAAUCAACAACAACAACAACAAAGACUUAUACCAUUAAGUGGGGUCCAUUUAUGCAUCCUAGAAUGCCAACUGCGCUCAGUUUUGCGCCAAAUCUUCCGUUAGCUUUAAGUACUCCAUGUCUUUUCUUAGAGUAUUUUUCCAAAUCUUCCUCUGCCCCUGCCCUUUUUGCUCUAAGCCAUUGUCUCAUAAUCGUAUCUUUUAAUCUGAGCAUCAGUAAGUAUUCAGUUCACAUGUCCAAACCACCUUAACCAGUUUUUCUCUUAUCUUCAAUUGCAGCUACUCUUACUUUACCUAGAAUAUGUUUGUUCUUAAUCUUGUUCUUUUUUAUGUGCCCACACAUCCAACGAAGAAUUCACAUCUUCACUACACUUAUUUUUUAGCACAUGAUAAUGCUUGACCACCCAACAUUUCAUACUAUAAAGCACUCCUGGCCUUAUUUUUGUCCUAAUUUUCCCUUAAGCUUUAGUGGCAUACGACGAUCGCACAUGUCACACCCUGAUUUCGAGAUACGUCCAUGAUUGACAUGUGACGUCACCACGUACCUGUUUGAUUAUCAUGCCUCGUUCUUGAGACAUGACAAAAAACAAACUAACAGAUCAAUAACGUAGUAACUAUUCCUUUUAUUUCAUGGCUGCAUCUAACCUCUAUGUUAUACUGCCUACGCGCCCUGAGACGGGGAUCGAGCCAUUCGUAGUUCACACUUUGAUAAACUCUAACAUUUCUCAUGGCAUUCAUAAAACUCUAGAUAACUCCUGACGUAAGUGUAAGUGAUGCACCCAUAUGUCAUUCCAUCUUUCACAUACUUCGCAAUGAUUUCCAAUAAUGAAACCACUGUUAGUAACAUUUCAAUGGACCAAUGAUGCACACAGUUUAACAUUUAACCACGUUAAUCAAUCAAUAAGAUCAAUGAUCACUUUACUAAUCGUAAUAAAGACAACAUCCGUAAGGCUUGCCAUAAUUCUCUACCAGGAUUCUAAAGUAACAUCAUUGUAACCCUAAAUUACAAACACAAGCAUAACCUUGAGCAACAUCUACUCACAAGAAUCUAGGGCUCUGAAAACCAAUUAGGAAAAGGGAUUCUGAACCACUCAACUGAGUCCAACGAAGAUAAGGUUUCAGACCAAUCAAUGGAACAAAAUAGGAAUAAGGAUUUCAGACCACUCAAUGGAAUCCAACGAAGAUAGGGGGUUUUGGAUAAUUAAUGAAACCGAAUUGGGAAAGAGAUUCGAAACUACUCCACGGAAUCUAAUGAAAAUAAGGUUCUGGACCACUCCAUGGAACCCAAUUCUAGAGUGCAUAUGGUCCUCAUGUGCGGAUUAACUAGACGAAACCAUAAGUAUCAAUUCAAUAGUGUGGUCCCCAAGUGCAGAUUAACCAGGCAAGACCACCUAUGGAUCUAAUGUGACCAAAUAAGCAGUGAUCUCCCAUGGGAUUAAACAGGCGGAGUCAGCCCUAGAAUGCGUAUGGUCCCCCAAUGCAGAUUAACCAGGCAGAACCAUAAGCAUGUAUCUAAUAGUGUGGUUCCCCGAUGUGGAUUAAUCAGGCAAAACCACCUAUGGACAUAAUGUGAUUAAGUAGGCAAUGACCCACCAAUGAGGAUUAACCAAACAAAGUCACUCCAAGAAUGAAUAUAGUCCUGAUAGGAUUAAAAGCACACCACAAAAUAGCACACAAACGUCCUAUUGAUUUUCCUUAUUAACACUAUAGCAUAUGAAAAUAAGGGUCUUUCCCGCAGAAGAUUGUUUUAUCUAACUACUUAAAAUGUCACAAAAAUUGGGCUGUUGUCCCUACUGACUAGCCACCGAAAAAUAAUUAUUAGACUGACUUACACUUAUCUAAGGUCUAUCAAAUUUUAUAUGCAGACACUAGACACGUAGAGCUACACACAUACAAAUUUUUGGGAUUUUUGAAUUGAUUUGCUAUUUAAAUUAAAUCGAACAAAAACAUGACAAAAGUGAAUUUUAAAUAAUAAAAAUAGAUUGUAGUUCACAAGUUAAGAAAAACGAGUUAUGGGAAUUGCUAUCCACCACCAAAUAAUCAUGCAAACAUGUUAUGUUUCAUUCAAAUUCCUUUUAUUUUUGGAUGAAAAUGCUCAAGUUGGCUCAAUGUUAGAACUCAACCUAUUAAUCUUUCUUAUGUAGUAUGUUAAGAGAAUGACGUUUUCAACUUAACUUAGUCCCUAGCAUGCAAUCUAGAAUGGCGUGUUCAUAGAUUUAAUAAGUAGAAAUCAUUAAGAACGAAAAGAGUUUGAGUCAUCAUAAGGCAUCGUAAGUACUAGCUUUGUCUUAGUUAUCCUAGAAAUUGGUUCACAUGUUAAUCGCAAUUAACAAGUACUAAUCUAGAACAUAUGUAGGUCUUCAUUCGACAAGGGCAGGUACACACAUAUUCAUAGCAUUAGAAUCCUAAAUAUGCUUACUAAGUAUGCAUCCGUAGAAAACACAUAAAGAAUUCAUCAAUGAGACAAGUAGUGAACCAAUUUUCAUCCAUUCAUAAAAGUAAUUCAACGAAAUGUCAUAACAAACUUGCAAUCAUAUUUGGGGCUUCAAAACAGCCCCUAACUACUAAAAAUUAGUUACACAUAAUCCUUAAAUAAAACCAAAAGAAAGACAUGAGUUUAAGAAGAUAAAACCGAAAGAAGAGAAUGCCAAGAUUUCCUCCUUCCUUUCCUUCCUUCCCCAACGUUGUUGCCUUGCUUUUUCUUUCUGUUGUAUUUUUUUUUUCUCCUCUCCUUUGCCGCUGCAACCUGAAGCCUUUUUGUUCUUGCUUCCUGCCCCAGUUUCUUCUCCAUAACUCACCUACUAUUAGCCAUUUAGUGAUGACAAUAAGUGAGAGGAAAUGGUAAAACAAUUGUAACUCUUUAGGUAGCCUUUAUGCCCAUUCCUCCCACUUAAUCCUCAUCUUUAAUUCCAUUUCCUCUGAUAUUUGAAUAGGUGUCAGCUGACUUGUUCUUGGCUGCAUCAGUUAUGGCUGCUAGAUUUAUUGGAUUUAUUGCUUUCAAUGCUUUCUUGUUAGUUACAAACUGCUCAACCUCUUGGAAACCUUUCAGUGUUAAAACGGCCAUAACUUCUUCUAGAAAAAUGAUAUUAGCAAUCCGUGAAAUGCUCCAGAAAAUAGACAUCCGUAGCUUUCUAAGAAUAUAAGGCUCAUUCUCUAAUUCAUUCUGAGCUGUUCGAAAUUUGCUUCCAAAGUCAGCUGAUCUGCACAGGCAGUUUUUACGAAUUUGUUACUUAAAAUCCCACUUGUGCUAUUUGUCUUUUAUUUGAUUGACAAAUCCCACAAAACACAAAAACAAAGUAAAUAGCUCAAAAAUAUAAGGAACUAACUAAGAAAAGACAAGUGAAUUUGAUGUAAAAUAUAUAUAAAUAUGAGCUUAUCAAAUACCCCCAUACUUAGCUUUUGCUAGUCCUCGAGCAAAACAAAGAAAACAUGAAAACGUAGCAACAUGAAAAACAUUAGCUUCCCCCUAUGUGACCCUCAUAGAAUUUCAUUCAAGAAAACAAAUCAUCAAGAACCUUAGCUAGCACCAAACAAGCUAAUCCAAGCUCAUCUUCCUUAUUCAAAUGUUAGCAGUAACCUUUUAAUCAUCCUUGAAGUGUAACGUGUGUAAUAGCCAUGCUAAUGCAAUUUCAAGCUUUUUUAAAAUACCACAUGCAAACUAGUGACCUUCUCACGGGACAUACACUCAAUCGCACAUAUGUUUAGUUUAACGUGUUUCACUCAAAGAAUCCAAUGUGAAAGAUCUACCAUAAGCUUGCAUAAAGAUCUCAUCUCUACAACCAUAAUUGCAAAACUUAAAUCAAGAUGACUUUUAUUGGAUGUAAUAAGGCUUAGGGAGAGGGUUAUAGAAAUGAAAGGAUAGGUAAUGACAAGUUCCAAGCUACAUGGCAAGCAAUUCUCUUGUUGAGAUUUAUAAGAACUCAAGCUCUCCAACCACUCCCCUAAACUGAAACUUAAAAAAAAACUUUUUAUUUGCUUUGUAUACAAAUUUUCUUUUUCUUUCUGUUUUUAUUUAUUUAUUAUUUUUACUUUUUUUUAACAACCUUGCACAUAACUAAAUACAAACAUGAAAUACCCCCACACUUAUUCUUUUGCCAGACUCCUUCAAAGUACUUCACAAACAUUUCUCAUAAGACAAUCUCACAUUGCUCACUAGCUAGCUUGGAAAGGGUAAGGAAAAAUGUUUAAGGUAUAAGGGUAGACCUAUCUGGUGAUAAGAAAUAAAAAGCUCAACAUAUACGGCUCAAAUUAGCAAUCUAAUGAUAUUUUUUUUCUUUAGGAAAACAUGCUUAUUUGGGCCAUUGUGAUAAACCUAAUGCCUCUAUCCUUUUCAAGUUCAUGCAAUCAAAUGACAAACAUUUUGAAAGAUCAUUACACAAGUUCUAGAGAUGUAAGUCACAUAAGUUCAUCACACAUGAAAGAAUAUGAGUGUGAAAAAUUCACACACUUUCAAUAGGCUAAAAAACUCACAUAGGAUGUAUAUUGUCACUAUGUUCACACAUGAAGCUUUAAGUCAUGCUUUAGUUUCACAUCAACAAGGCUAUGUGCAUUUGGUUUUUCAAAGAUGAUUAAACAUGUACAAGGCUAACAAGAGAAUAAGGAAUUUCACACAACACAUGAUUACUAAGUUCUUGAUCACCGUGGUUCAAAUUUGAUCCAAUUAUAUCAUUGGGUUGGGAAACUAACAAAAAUCUAAUUCAAAACAAUAAAGAAAAUAAGACUACUUUUUGAUUUUCAAAUUUUCUGAAUGUUUUUUUUUGUUUUUUUGUGGUUUUUUUUAGAGUAAACAAAACUAACUAAGAAAAUAAAAAGAAACAACACGGACACAAAUCAAACCAGUUCUUAGUCAAAGGGACGAAAAUUUUCAAUUUGGUCAUUUUUUGAAUCCUUACCCCCAAACCUAAACUGGACAUUGUCCUCAAUAUCAGAAAACACAAUAAUGCAUAAAAUAAAAAUAAAAUAAAAUAGUACGAAACAAAAUAAAGCAUUUAUACUGAAAACUUCCCCAAUUUGCAAUAAAAUCAAACGAUGACCCCCAAACUUCAAUUCUGCAAUCAACUCCAAUGGUGGACAUGAUCAAACUUUACUACAAAGAAAAGAAAUAAUUCAAUUUAGCACGUAAGAAAAUUCAGAAAACAAAAACAAACGGAAAAUUGAAAAUGACAGAAAAAGACAAUGAAUAGAAAUAUUGGGUUGCCUCCCAAUAAGCGCUUGCUUUUACAUCCACAGUUGGACAGCACCAAGAGUAAUCAUCCAAGGGGAGAUGGUUCUGGGAGGGGUACAACCUCCACAUCAUGCUCCGCAAAAGACUCGUAAUAUGGCUUAAGUUUAUGCUCAUUCACUUUGAACACGUCUCCAGUCUUUGCACUUUGGAUUUCCACUGCACCAUGAGGAAAAAUAUUAGUUAUAACAAAUGGACCAACCCAUUGAGAACGAAGCUUACUUCGAAAUAACCGAAGGCGAGAAUUAAAUAGAAGAACUUUCUGUCCAAUGACAAAGCUCUUCCUUAAGAUCAUCUUGUCAUGAAAUGCCUUUGAUUUCUCCUUGUAUAUUUCGACUAGACUCAUAUGCAUCAUUCUGAAUUUGGUCUAACUUAUUCAAUUGAAGCUUUCUCUGUUGUCCGGCAACACUCAUGUCCAUGUUGUAGGCUUUGAUCGCCCAAUAAGCUUUGUGCUCUAACUCUACUGGAAGACGACAUGGUUUCCCAUAAACUAACAUAAAUGGGGACAUUCCAAUAGGAGUCUUAUAGGCAGUCUUAUAAGCCCACAAUGCAUCUUUCAAGCACAUGCUCCAAUCCUUUCUACUAGGACUCACAAUUUUCUCCAAAAUUUGCUUCACCUCACGGUUUGAUAAUUCUGCUUGACCACUAGUUUGCGGAUGAUAAGGUGUAGACACCUUAUGUGUGACAUUGUACCUCCUAAGCAACACUUCAAAUGUUCUAUUGCAAAAGUGACUCUCUCCAUCGCUGAUGAUUGCUCUAGGUAUUCCAAAUCUUGCAAAGAUGUUAGUCUUAAUAAAAUUUGAAACAACUUUUGAAUCAUUAGUUUUGGUGGCUUUCGCUUCCACCCAUUUAGAAACAUAAUCCACAACCAAUAAAAUGUAAAGAAAACCAUUUGAAGAUGGAAAAUGUCCUAUCAAAAUCAAUGCCCCACACAUCAAAGAUCUCAACAAUCAAAAUAGGAGUUUGUGGCAUUUGAUUUCUUGGGCCCAAGUAGGGAUGUCAAUUCUAACCAUUAAACCCGAUAACUGUGGAUAACCGCCCGAAUGGAUUGGAUAUGGAUAUGAAAAUUCGGGUAUGGUAUGGAUGUGGGGAAAAACCGUGAACUUUAUUCGGUUAUGAUUUUGAAUAUGGUUAUAGGGGUCCCCAAUCCGUAUCCGUCCCCUAAUCCGACCCAAAUAUUAUAUAUAUAUAUAUAUAUAUAUAUAUAUAUUUGAUAUAUAAUAUAAUUUUAUUCAAUUUACCGAACUCUCCCUAUACUAAUUCAUUAUGCAUGCAACAAACCCUAUACUAUCUUUAUUAUGCACCAUGCAUAGGGCAUACCAACAACCUCAUCAAUUCAAUACUCUUAUUGUUAUACUCAACCAAAUUAAUUCAUUGAAUCAUUUUAUAUAUCAAUUAUCAAAUGUUACAAGUUUAUUAGAUUCAUCUCUAUUCAAGAGUUUCACUAUCAAGAAAUUGGUGCAUGUUAUCAUGAACAACUUCAAAUAUAUUGUUAUGUUUUUUGUCAUUGGAUGUUGCUAUUUAAUGACGGAAUUAGUAUUUACUAAAAUUUAUAAUGCAUCAAUUGGAUGAAUAUAAUUUUUUACGAAGAUGGAUAUAACCGAUAACCAAUUGAAAAUCUGUUACCCGGUGAAUAUGGUUAUGGAUAAUCCCCGAUGGUUAAUUUGCGGUUAUGGAUAUGGUUAAUUUUUGUGGUUAUGGGGAUGGAUAUAGAAUUUUCGUCCCCAAACUGAACCGUUGCCAUCCCUAGGCCCAAGUUACGUGUUCGUUGACAAUGAUCACAUGUUGCACAAAACUUGUACGCUUCCUUAAACAAACUAGGCCAUAAAAACCACUCUCUAACACCAUAAGGGUUGUCCUCUUUGCUCCAAAAUGGCCACCACAUGCAUAAGAAUGACAAAAAGUUAGAAUAGAUUUAAACUCAGAUUCGGGGACACACCUUCUAAUCAUCAGGGCAAUAUCGUAGUAUUUGGCGAUUUUGACAAGCUUAUCUUUUUGAGCACGUGUAAAAUCAUCCGGAAUCUUUUUGGUGACCAUGUAAUUGAUAAUAUCUGCAUACCAAGGGUCAGUAGCCUUUAAUGAAAACAAUUACUCGUCCAGAAAACUCUCACGUAAAGGGAUGAAAUAUUCCUCUGUGUUUGAAUGCACAUGUCUGCUAAGAUGAUAUGCUACAACAUUCUCACUCCUUUUCUUAUCCUUGAUCUCUAAGUCAAACUCUUGAAGCAGAAGUAUCAAUCGAAUGAGUCGCGGUUUUGCAUCUUUUUUUGUGAGUAGAUACUUCAAAGUUGCAUGGUCAGAAAACAUAAUAACUUCCCAAUCAAAUAAGAUCUAAAUUUUUCUAAAGCAAAUACAAUAGCUAAAAGCUCAUUCUCUGUUGUUGAAUAAUUCAACUGUGCAUGAUUGAGUGUUCGAGAUGCAUAAUAAAUGACAUGUGGCACUUUGUUGACACGCUACCCUAGAACUGCACCGACGGCAUAGUCUGAAGCAUCGCACAUCAACUCAAAAGGUAAAUUCCAAUCUGGUGGCAUGAUCACAGAAGUCAUGGAUAACAACUCAUUAAGCUUGUUGAAUGCUACCACACACUCUUCAUUCAUAUCAAUUGUUACAUCCUUUUGAAGCAAACGGCACAAGGGUCUAGAAAUCAUUGAGAAGUCCUUCAUAAACCUACAGUAGAAACCUGCAUGUCCAAGAAAAGAACGAACCUCCCUGACAGUAGUAGGGAGGGGUAAAGAACUAACAAGUUCUACUUUAGAUUUAUCAACUUCAAUUCCAUUUUCAUAUAUGAUAUGCCCUAGAACUAAUCCAUGUGAAACCAUGAAAUGACAUAUUUCCCAAUUUAAGACCAGAUUAGUUUAUUGGCAACGUUUUAAAACUAGGGACAGAUUAUGUAGACAUGUAUCAAAAGAAUCACCAUAAACUGAAAAAUUAUCCAUGAAAACUUUAAUGAUUUUCUCAAUCAUAUUAGAAAAGAUACUUACCAUACACCUUUGAAAUGUGGCGGGGGCAUUGCAAAGUCCAAACGGCAUCCUCCGAUAUGCAAAUGUGCUAAAUGGACAUGUGAAAGUCGUCUUUUCUUGAUCCUCUAGAGCAACUGCAAUUUGAUUAUAUCCAGAAUAGCCAUCAAGAAAGCAAUAAUGAGAACGAUCAGCUAACCUUUCUGGAAAGUGAUCUUUGCGUGUGGUGCUGUUUAUCUUCCGAUAGUCUGUACAGACUCUCCAAUUAUUUUGCACACGUGUAGGCACUAGCUCAUUAGCUUCAUUCUUAACAACUGUGACUUUGGAUGCUUGAACAUGGCUCACUCACUUGUUGUCUGAGAUAGGAUAUAUGAUGCCAACAUCCAGAAGUUUGAUAACUUCUUUCUUGAUGACUUUCAUCAUGAAUGGGUUCAAAUGGCGUUGAGCUUCCCUUGUUGGUUUUGCACAUUCAUCCUACAAAAUCUUAUGCAUACAUGUAGCUAGAUUUAUACCUUUGAUAUCUGCAAUACUCCAAGCUAUGGCAAUUUUGUGAUCCUUCAGUACUCGGAUCAGUUUCUCCUUCUCUUCUGCUGUGAGUUAUGAUGAUAUGAUGACCAAUAAUGUUUCAUCCUCUCCCAAAAAUCCAUACUUCAAAUGUUCAGGAAUCAGUUUAAGCUCCAAUUUGGGUGCCUGAACCACGGAAGGAAGAGUUUUUUCGUUAGAAGUAGAAAUUACAAAACUAGGUUCACAAGGUUGAAUGUCGUCAAACAUAGUAAAACACAAAUUCAAGGCAUCUAAAUUAGCUACAGUGAACAAAGUGGGUCAUCAGCGUAUGGGCCACCGCAUGCAGUGGCCUGUGGCCACAACAUUGCUGAAAUUCGACCAAUAUCAAAUUGAUACAAAUUACACCACAAUGAAGCUCACAUCGAGGGAAGAAAAUGUUAUACAUGUGCCAAAGUCCAGAUCUGAACGGAAAACAGUGAAAACCAUCGAAGAAAGUGCAGGUGGACAGUAAACUUGUGGAGCUACUGUGACACCACCGCUGCACGAACGUCCUAUCCAAGACUAAGGUUUUGCUUUAGGCAUCAAGGGCUUCUCAAGGGUUGUGGUGGUUGCCAGCAUUAUCAACAGGAACAACGAGAUCGUUGUUCGUUGAAUCCUUCAACUUUUCGCUCGUCGAUCCACCCGUCCUACGGUUGAUCGCUGGGCUUUACUCGAGGUAAGGAGAAGAGUCGAUCAUGAGUGGUGACCAAGAUCGACGUUGCCUUAAUUUGCAAAAAUCAACAUUAAACAUGGGUCGCGUCGCCGGUUAGGUCAAUGAACGUGGGUCAACCUUCCUUAAAUAGAUUAUGUCCAGACUUGGGUUGGGCUACUAUAUAUAAAGGGACCAAAUUAUCAUUUGCCACUGCCUUUGCUCAUUUAUUUCUCCUUCGUUAUAACUUCAUUUUGCGAAUGGCUUUUGCCUACGUGCUUGUGAGAUCAAACUCUAUCCAAAUACUCGAGGUAAGGAGAGGAGUCGACCAUGGGUGGUGGCCAAGAUCAACGCUGCCUCAAUUUGCUGAAAUCAACGUUAAAGAUGGGUUGUGUUGCCGGUCGAGUCAGUGAACACGGGUCGACCUUCAUUAAAUAGAAGAUCAUGUCCAGACUUGGGUUGGGCUGCUAUAUAUAGAGGGACCAAACUAUCAUUUGCCACCGCCUUUGCUCACUUAUUUCUCAUUCGUUAUAACUUCAUUUCGCGAAUGGCUUUUGCCUACGUGCUUGUGUGAUCAAACUCUAUACGAAAAUAUUAAGAGUGACCCUGAAAGAUCUAUGAAUUUUUAAUGACUAAUUACAGAAAAAACAAACUUUAACUAACCAACCAGAAGUCCAAAAACUAACGAAAAAUAAAAUUAAUAAUAAUAAUUUCUUGAAAAUACAUAAUACGAAAAAUUAAAUAAUGAAAUAUGGGAACGAGAUUUUAUAGCACAAACAUUCGAUGCAGUUUUCUACUUCAUCCAUCUAACUUGUAUUCUAUGGUUGAGAUCUUCAUCCAAUUCUCCGUUGUUUUGCAAGAUAGAUCCAACAUAGCGAAAGCUUUCGCUCUUUUGAUACCACAUGAGAGUUAUUAUAAUCACUAAUGAAAAUCAUGAGAGUUUUUAUUAUAGGUUCUGAUACCACAUGUAAGACUUAUAAAAUACAUAAGUUAACAAAUUAAGCUCACGAACCAUAAUCAUACAAGUAUCAAAACUAUAGAAGCAGACGAAGAAGAAGCUAUAGCAAACCUCAAUAUAGUGCAUCUUUUCAUGUAGAGAUCGACAAUGAUGAAGCCAUGAGUCUUCUAUAUCAAAUCUUCUCCUCUCUGAAAAAACCUUAAUGCUCAAAUCAACAAUAUGCAUUUUAUUUAAUAUAGAAUGUAUAUAUUGCAAGAGCAUAGGCCUAGUGUAUAUACAUGUUCAGCCCAUUUGUCUCUCCUAUUAGGAUCCAAGUGGAACACUGACAAGAAAUCCUUAUUCAACAAUGAGUACAUAAACUAGGAUGGAAAUUGUGUUUUAAUGCCUGGUAACGUUUGAAACAAUUCAAAACCUCCGUCUAUUAUGCUUCUUUGCACUUAGUUGGCUUUGAAAAUACAUUAUCAUAUUUGUAUUCUAAUAGUUGUUUGCUAAUAACACAAUGUUCACGUACAUUAGAAGGAAGAAUGACAAGAUUUGUCAUCAUUUUGUUCAGAUAUAGUCUUCUACACAUUGAGAUUCAACUGGCCAUGGCAAAAGAGCCAAAGUCAUGUUGGAUCAUUCACCUUGGAAAUUAGACUUCUAGAUGCUUUUGACUCGCAGCGGAUUGCACCUUUUUCGCUGGAUCAUAAACUAACCACAAUUUCAUUCUCUUGUAGCUAACACAAACUUGACAGAUUGCUUUUUAAGUCAUGAACAUAACUCACAGUAGUACGAGAUGCUCCAUUUAAAUGGGGAAAAAAAAAGUUACUUAUACUACCACUCAUACGAUUAUUUUCAGCUUAGUUGUGUCCAUAUAACAAAUGUUUGUUUUAAAUUCCUCCUCUUUCACAUGGUACUCCACGAAAACUUAAAUAUAUGUUUUAAGGCUAUGGUGAAUCAAACAUUGUGACUUAAAAGAUAAGAACUGAGUCCCAAACUUUGGUGCAUUGGAUUGGAGAGGUUUUUACCAAGUUUGUCAUAAAUGUCGUAGGAUCAUAAUUAGUAAGGGAAUGCACAUGUUAAGAACCUUCUCAUUUUAAGAUUCCCAACACUGUUUGUCAUCCUACAAUGUUACGCGAUGAUUUGAAUAGCUAAAAUGGAACCAAGUUUAAAAAUGUUGAUCCAUCUUACAUUCACCCAAUAAACACUUGACAACCAUCAUGUUACCCAGUUAAACAAUGAAAUCUUGACAACAAUUAUUGGACAGCUGAAAGAUUUCUAAUUUGAUUAAUUUUCUAUGGAGUUAAUCUUUGAGCGAUUUCUACUACUCAGUACUACGGUAUGGUAAUAUUCCUAUUCGCUUAGAAGUGAGAGGUCUUAGGUUUGAAUCUCGUAGAUGGCGAAUUCAAUACAAAAUUAGGCUACUCAUUAUGUGGCUUAGCCAAACUUCCCCUCAUCCUAGUGUAAAAAUAUCGAUGUAUUCAAAAGAAGAAAAAAAAAAAAAACUUUGGGCGAUUUCUUUAAAGAGUAAACUAGAUAAUAAAUGAUUCUGAUUAUGGUGCAACACAAGUGAUGCUCACCUAAGGACUUUGAGGACUUGUAAGGACCAGCUCUGUCUCGAAUCAUAGGAUUUUAUUCAGCAAGAUAUAGCGGCUCAAAUUAUUUUACAUUUUAAAAUAUCUUAUUUACACUCCUUUUUAAUUUCAACCCAUUUUGUAUUGAGAACCCACGUUUCUUUUACCCUCACGAUCUCUCCCAUGUUCUUUUCUUUCACACAGUCCUCCCAAGUCCUAACAUGUAAGAAUUCCUUGACAGCUUAAUGGCCUAUAAAUCUACUCCCAAGAAAAUCAUCUUAAGCACUUUAUUUCUCAUACAGCCUUGAACUUUCUUUCCCAAAUUCAUUUAUCCAAAUGGAUUUAAUAGGCCAUGAUUUAAAAUACAGAUGCACUGUUACUGCAGGAAAACCAGAUGUUCAAAAUAAAAUAAAAUAAAAUAAAGGAAAAUAAAAUAAGCCGUACAAAUUCAUGUGUUCUGCAAUUUAGGACAAAAUUUAAAAUAAAAAAAAAGAAAAAAAAAAGGUAAUCAGAGACUGAAGAAAUUUUUGUGAAUCAAACAAAAGAACAAAUAAAAUUGGCAUCGCACAACCUUUUAAUACAAAAGGAUGAAAAACAUUGACGAAGAUGCAGUAGGCGAGAUUUGCGAGGGUAAAAGAAAAAUAGGUUGGGUUUUUAUCACAAAUGGUCCUUGAAAUUGACCAUCACCAUUAAAAUGGUCUAUGAAAUUGAAAUCAAUCAAUGUAAUUCUUGAAAAUAAAUGUUGCAAAUCGAUGUGAUCCUUCCGUCAUAAUUCUAUUAAAAAUUCCAUUAAGUGUUGAUAUGAUACAUAAAUAAGUCCCAUAAGUCUUUUUUUUUCUCACAAAUGGUCAUUGAAAUGACCUGCGACAUCAAGAUGAUCCUUGAAAUUGACAUGCAACAAAAAAAAUGGUCCCCGAAAUUGAAAAACGAUCAAUGUAUUCCCGCAAGUAGGUGUCCCAAAUCAACGUAGUCUGUUUGUACCAUAUUUAGAGCCUCCGUAUUUAGAGCUCGUAUAAAUACUCGGAGGACUCAAAUGUAAUUAUGUAAUAAAUGGGGGGCAAAUAUGUAAUAAGUGAGGAGCCCUUAUUUUAUAAAAGGGCAUCCUCACCCUAAAAAACCUUAAGCUCUCAUCCUCACAAACAGAGAGCUCUCUCAAACUCUCUCUUUCUCUGAUGGACUCCCCCUUACCCUUGUAACCCAUACAUACAGUUAGAGAGAAUACAAUCAACAUCAGUAUGGACUUAGCUCAAACAUUGGGGUGAACCAUGAUACAUCUUGUGUUCUUUACUUUCUUGCAGAUUCACGGUCGGAUUUAUGUUGUUCCAAGACCCUCCGGUUUUGUGCAUCAACAUUUGGCACCGUCUGUGGGAAACGACACGAAAAACUAUGUCGGAUCUCUUUCAUUUUUUCACCUCCAUCGUGAAUCUGCAAAACCCACACAGAGACACAGACACAGAGCUCUCUCUAUCUCUCUCUGCCUCUGAACUCACGCCUUUCCCCACAACCCACACAUUUUCCACUUCUCAGAAAAGCCAAAAAAAAAAAAUCCCCAACAAAAUAAUAAUAAUAAUAAUAACCUCCAGAAAUUGAAAAUAAGCGGAUCAAAAAACCAAAAUGUCUUCUCUCAUCACAGCAGAGAUCAAGUCCAAGGCAGACGAGCUCUACCAUGGACAUGAAAUCUGCCAACAGAAAUCAAAUGAGCUUCUCUCAGAAACAUGCUUCCCCAAUGGCCUUCUGCCCCUCAAAGACAUCGAAGAGUGCGGGAUCAUGAGGGAAACUGGCUUUAUGUGGCUCAAGCAAAAAAAAAGCUGCACCCAUAAGUUUGAGAAGAUAGAGGCUAAAUCCAACGCCCUAGGGGCCCUUAAGAAAAAAAAAAACCCUCUCUCUCGUCACUUACUUUCUUUCUCUGCACUCUUCAAUGGCGACCGCAUCUUCCUCAUCGAGGGCAAGAACCCGGGCAAACAAAAGCGGCCCUGUGCUCCGGUCGCUCUCGCCUUCCGAAAAGUUCUACACCGCUUCCAAUGGCAGUAUCUCAUCGUCGGCGUCAGGUUUCGUUUAUUUAACGAGCUUAAGCUUCUCGUCGCCGACGUCAGCUUUAUUCCACCACCACUACCACCACCACCAGGACCACCACUACUACAAUCAGCAGAUCAAUCACCACUACCAUCAUAGAUCCGCUUCUCCGACGCGUGUCAACCUUUACACCUCUUCAUCUCCGUUUCCGUACGUUCGGUUCUCUAUCAACCACCGUUUGAUCUCUCCCAACCACCAUUGGAAUCGAUCCAUCGCCGUCUCCAAGAAAACUGGACCGAUUUCGAUGCCGAAGAAGACCUGUAUGUGCUCGCUGAUGUCGUAUUCGGGAUCAUUUUGCUGCAACCUCCAUAAAAACCAGAGAUGGAGUGAAAACACCGGAUCUUUCCUGUCGAACAGGUUGAAUAUGAGCAGGUCUACUAUGACGAACUCGCUGGUACGAAUUAGUGGAGUCGAAGGCGAAUGGGUGAAGCGAACCUUGACCUCUCUAAUUCGCCCUUGUGCGCACCAGUAGAGGUGGAGAGCCGGGUUCCAGCCACGGCCCAGCAGACUCUCUGCCAUGUCCACCGCCGACUACUAGUGGUGGCGGGUUACAAUUCACAACGAAUUUUGGUUUACAGAGUGACAGAACGGACACAGGUUGGUUGGUUAUUUUCCGGUCAUUUCUCUCUUUUUUCGAUCUUUGAACCCGACGAGUAGAACUCGGAGCCGCACAUCGCAGCCGUUUUUGAUCUAAUUCGACCAGAUCUGAUGGCACAACUGAGUCGAUUCAAGCAACUUAGACGAGUUAUGAAGCGGAGGCGCUGAGUCAAGCCCGACGAGUUUUACACUUAGAACUCCAUAUUUGUACAGUUGAAUGAUAAUCAUGUGAUAUGGGUCCUCUUUCGGGAAAUGACAAGAAAAAGCAAAAGGAAGUCUGGAGAUAAGAAAAGCCAAGGAGCAAGUGGAUUUACAGUCACUGCUCACCCAUGUUGUAAACCUGUAAAGCAGAAAGCAAAAGAAGAGAAUAAAAUCUGAGAGAUUGAGAUUUGACUGAGCAGACCGCAAGUGGUAGGGGACAAACGGUAAAGAAGAGAUUAAUGAUUAAUUGGGUGCACAUGCAUGAUAGCAGCGCAGAGACAGAGACAAAAAGAGAGGUGCAGUGGAAAGAAGAAAGGAAAAGGUAAAACAUUCAAUAGGCGCAAUAGUCACAUGGAAAAAGAUCUGCAACAACCCAGUACGCAAUAGGUGCAGCACACACCAACGAUCUGCAACUGUCGAAGCUUUUGUGUCGAAACCUUUGUUUUGAAUGAUGUGAUUUACUUUUCUUAUCUUUUGACAUCUGUAUAACCCCAACGGAGGGUAAUAAAAAAAUUAAAAAAAAAAAAAAACGGCAAGCCCAAAAGAGCUAGGCCCUAUGGCUCCAAAUUUAUUCAGCACCCUACCGCUAUUAUCACCAACCAGGUGAUUAAAAGUACAUCUAAUACUCCAAAAUUAUUCGGCAGCCUGCCUCUAUUAUCACAAACCAGGUGAUCAAAGUACGCCUAGUACUACAAAAAAAUUAUUUGGCAGUCUGCCGCUAUUAUCACCCACUAGGUGAUCAAAAGUACGUCAAGUACUCCAAAAUUAUUCGGCAGCCUGCCGCUAUUAUCACCCACUAGGUAAUCAAAAGUACGUCCAGUACUCCAAAAUUAUACAUGAGCAUCACUCAUGUCAAUCAUACAUAAACAUUCAUGAGCAUCACUCAUGUCAAUCAUACAUAAACAUUCAUGACCAUCAUUCAUGUCAACAUUCAUGAGCAUCACUCAUGUCAACAUCCAUGAGCAUCACUCAUGUCAAUCAGCUUCGAAAGCUUCAUUUACGGAGCUCUAGCUUCAAAGCUUCAUUUUAAAAGCUUCACAGCUUCAUUUUAAAAGCUUCACCUACAAAGCUUCAGUGCAUGGUAUACAAAGACUGCCUCCGAACAACCGCCACUUUGGCCCAUACAUGGAUUGAAAUUGAAGUCUUCAGCCAACAGCCUCUAUUGACUAAAGACUUGGGGGGACUGCACUAUGUACCAAUAUAUUGGGCUUCCACAACUGGGCCUCGUGAAAAAUACUCGGGGGACUUAACCCAUUAUUCAUGUAUUGAGGAGCGAACCCUUAUUCUAUAAAAGGGACUCAUUCACCUUCAUUAAAGAGUAUCGCCGCCAACUGAGCAACCGCCUCGCCGCGAGCGUCAACUCUAGCCCAUCAUUUAUGUAUUGAGGAGCGAACCCUUAUUCUAUAAAAGGGACUCCCUCACCAUCAUUAGAGAGCAUCACCGCUUGCUGAGCAACCGCCUCGCCGCGAGCAUCAAAUCUAGCCCAUCAUUCAUGUAUUGAGGAGCGAGCCCUUAUUCUAUAAAAGGGACCCCCUCACCAUCAUUAGAGAGCAUCACCGCCUGCUGAGCAACCGCCUCGCCGCGAGCAUCACUCAUAACCCAUCAUUUAUGUAUUGAAGAGCGAGCACUUAUUCUAUAAAAGGGACUCCCUCACCAUCAUUAGAGAUGAUCGCCGCCUGCUAAGCAACCGCUUCGCCGUGAGCAUCAACUCUAGCUCAUCAUUUAUGUAUUAAGGAGCGAGCCCUUAUUCUAUAAAAGGGACUCCCUAACGCCACAAGCCAAGCCAACCAAGGCAACAUAAGCCAUAAACCGAGCAGCCUCGCAACAUGUGCUACUUCUAGUUGAGCAUCAUUUCACAUUGAGCACUACCUCAUAUCGAGUAUUCAGUUCUAGACGACAUCUAGUUACUUCGGCUCACACAUGGACUGAAUUUGAAGUCUCCAGCCAAAAGACUUUCUUGACUGAAGACUUGGGGGACUAUUGUUUGUACCAUACUUAGGGCUUCCGUAUUUAGAGCUCGUAUAAAUACUUGGGGGACUCAAAUGUAAUUAUAUAAUAAAUGAAGGGGCAAAUAUGUAAUAAGUGAUUAGCCAUUAUUCUAUAAAAGGGCUUCCUCACCCUCACAAACCUCAAGCUCUCAUCCUCACAAACAGAGAGCUCUCUCAAACUCUCUCUUUCUCUGAGGGACUCCCUCUCACCCUUGUAGCCCAUACAUACAGUUAGAGAGAAAUACAAUCAACAUCAGUGUGGACGUAGCCCAAACAUUGGGGUGAACCACGAUACAUCUUGUGUUCUUUACUUUCUUGCAGAUUCACGGUCGGAUUUACGUUGUUCCAAGACCCUUCGAUUUUGUGCAUCAACAUAGUCCUUCCGUCACAAUUUUGUUAAAAAUUCUAUUAUGUGCUGAUGUGACAUAUAAAUGGAGCUCACAAGUCUAAUUAAAUUUAAAAAAUUACAAAUAGGUUUAAUAAUGGGAAUUAUUAUUAGCACUCCAAAAAUCUCAUUCUACGCUCCAAACUUUCUAUAUUAGGAAAGAAAUAUACACUUGUGAGGAGUGUAGAAUGAGAUUUUUGGAGUGCCAAUAAUACUUUCCUUAAUAAUUUAAUAGUUAAUAAAAAGUUGUGAACCCAAAAACCCAGUUCUGCAAUCACCUCUGAUCCUAGUCCACAUUCCUCUACCUCCUUCGUUGUCUAUUAUCUAAAAAAAAAUUCUCAAUACACUCAUCUUUACACACUUCAACACCCUUCACUGAAUUGAACCUGGAUCGAGAUCACCUUUAGUGACAGCUUGGCUGAUUGGCAAUGAUUCCUGGGACAUCACCGUUAACAUUUAGGCGAUCAACAUCCUCACAACCUUAAUCUUGGAGAGCUUGUUCGGCGCUUCCUUACUGGUCUAGUGACUCAAAGAACAGCGAGGUAUGCCUUGAGAUAAUGAGGUUAUAACUGAGGUGUGUAUUAUUGGUUGAAAACUAUUUCCAAACCUUCUCUUAGGCCUUGAUUAUGCCUUGUGUCUUUGCAAAUUUAUGAAAAGAAUCUCUCAUCAGAGUAGGUCCUACUCUAAGAUUAAAAAAAUUCAUUGUGCAAAAAGAUAUUUAGACAACUUUUUAAUAAAUUAUUAAACCUACAUCAACACAUAACAAAAAAAUGUACAUAACUGUGGCGGAAUGAUCGUAUUGAUUUGCGACACCUAUUUUCAAGGACUACAUUAAUUGAUUUUCAAUUUUAGGGACCAUUUUGAUGGUGUGAAUAAAUUUCAGGGAUCAUCUUGAUGAUGUGAGUCAAUUUCAGAGACCAUUUGUGAUAAAAACUCAAACAGGUUCCACAAAAUGGGUCAAAUUAAGAGUGAUAAAUAGAGUGUUUUAAGUUGUGAAAAAAUUUGAGCCUCUGGAUCUCAUUUAAUAAAAUUCUAUGGUUGAUAUAAAGUUGGUCCUCACAAAUCCUUAAAAUAAGGACCUUACGUGAGCAUCACUAGGUGCAACACUAAAGGCAAAAGAAGAGUAAAAAUAAUAGUAAUGUAAUUCAUAUAUCUAUUUUUAAUUCUUACACCUCUUAUAAUUUUUUGUCGUCGGAUCGAAAGCAUUGAUAAAAAUCAAUAAUAAAAAAUUAAUAAAAGUGCAUAAGAAGUAAAAAUGAGUUUGUAAAUAUUACUUAAAAAAAAAAUUCAAGUAAGGUACGACUGAAAAGAUCCAUAGCAUCUCCAACUCAUAGCUUAAAUUUUAUAUUUUUUUUCAUAAAAAUGGAGUUAAUACACCCGAAGCACUAGAUACGUGGGAGAAGCUAAAAAAGUCGCAUCUAUAUCGUAUCAUUCAUGUCAUUGACAUUUUAAACGCCCCACAAGUCACAACUUGGAUCUCACAAGUCAACGAACACAACCAAUCUGCAUUUGCUGGCCUGGCCCCCACCCCGGAUACCUAAAUAGUCCAAAUUGACUCUCUCAGCAUAAAACGACAUCAAAACUAAGAAAAAAAACAAAAGGAUUAUUCCGAUGCGCGCCCUUUUUGACUAUUUCCACACGCAACGAAGAUUUCAACCAAAGAAUCCAAUGCUCCGUCCACCAACACAAUUAAUUUCGUAUAUAAAAAAAAUUAAAAAAAAAGAAAGUAAAUUAAUAAAAAAAUUGAAUAAAUUCAAUAACUCAUCAAAAGUAUAUAUUCCAUUUUCCAUCUCUCUUUCGCCCUUCUUUUCUUCCAUAAUUUACAUCAUAUACCCCUCCGUUUCCAUUACACCGUAUAUUUCAUUUUUGUAAUUCAGCAUCAUUUUCUUUUGACUUGUGAAAUAGCGCUAAGUCCACAUGCUGUGUACUUCUCCACUGUCACGGCGUGCCUUCAACGGUGACGAUCGGGAAUCAAACUGUGGACCCCGCGUCACUCUAUUCAGGACGACUGGAAAACAAGGCCCACAUUAGCGGCUGUGAGGGAAGGGUAAGGGUGCGGGUGACGGUGCUCAGCUUCGUAGGUAACGACGAGCAUCUUGGGGUCGUCCUGUGCUCUCUCCACGUGUUUCCUUGCUGGACACCCUCUCACUGUACUGCACCUAUAAUACCCUCUGCAAACAAAUAAAUACAAUUAAAAUUAAUUUAUGAGCUUCAUGGAAAAAGAACAUUCAGAUCUGUGUUUGACUUUGAAAAGAUGUGCGGUUGAGAUUUAAAGAAGAAGAAUAAUACCUCGGGUGAGGUGAGCCCUUGAUCGGCUUUUGACCAUACUUUCUCCAGGCGAACUCGUCCGCAGGUAUAUCGGCGGUUUUCGAGCUAAUCGCCGCCACUCUGAUCGUCCUCUUAACCUUAGACUUCCUACAAAUAAUUAAAACAAAUAUUCAUUUAAUACAAUAAUCUUCAAACAAAAUGCUAAAAUCAGUACCUUCUUUUCUUGUUCAAAAAAAAAAAAAAAAGUACCUUCUUUUAGAACAAUGGCAGUGGCCCGACGACGACGACGUUUUAGCGGGUUCGCCCUCGUGACACCGUUUCCGGUGAGAUUGUGGAAGGGGCGGUUUUCCAGCGGAGAAAGCCGGAGGCGUAGGCACAGAAAUCGAUGAGAAGGUUUUACCGUUGGAAACGCUGCCGUCUCCGAUUGUGUUUGAGGAAAAAAACGACGACGUAGUGGAGACCGGAGGGGACACAGUAGUGGAGUAGUCCUUGUCCGAUUUUGGGGUUUGAAAAGCAGUCAAAGUCGUCUGAGGUUUCGGAUGGACCGAAUCUGAAGCUGGUUUGGCCGGUCCGCGACGGAACCGGGCGUGACCGGUCCGGUUCAAGACGGAGAUUAGGUGCUUGAACUUGGUGACGGUGAAGUCGCUGAUUUCCCGGCAAUCGAGUGGAGUGUGGGACGGGGUUUGAUUGGACAGGGUGCGGAUGAGGUGCUGCAUGCUUUGCAGGCCGGCGGAGGCAGCUUCUUGCACGGCAGUCCGAUCGUCCAUCUUGGAGAAGCCAACUAGAUCUAUAGCCAUCGGAGCUGGCUUUUGCUUUGAGAAUACAGAGAGACUUGGGAGGGAGGAUUGAUGGAGUUAUGAAUUGGGAGAGUUUGAGAGAAGGGAGGGGGUUGGGGGUUAAAAGGGAACCGAAAAGAUGGUGUAAAAGUCAAAGGAUGGGAUCCAAGGGUAGAGAUUUUUGCAUGGGACAUGAUGACACGAAGACAAAACAAGUCUGAAGGGGGUUGGUGAUGGGUCCCACGUGAGGCAAAAGAGGAGAAAGAGGGUUCCGUCUUGUAACGCACUGACUUUUUAGCUUUAAUUAUUGACCAAUGGCCGCGGCAUUCUGAGUUGCGUAUGUUGACUUUAUCAUCUACUCAAAUCAACCAAAUAAAGAAUAAUCAUGUUGUAUGAUCUGCUUUUCCUUUCAAGAUCUCAUCAUAUCAUAUACGAUAUGCUUGCAAGCUCCAAGUUGCAACUAAUUAAAUACGAUAUUCUCCUAGUUAUAUUUUCCUUCAUUUUUGUUUUGUUUUCUGUAUGGAUGCUUGUCAAAUCUGGAUGUGUAAUGUAGCGAUUGUCUAUGUAUUGUAUAUCAUGUGGGAACAGCAAAAUUGUGAAGCUUUCGUAAUAUUCAAAUUGCCCUUCUUUCAUAAAAAUUAAAAAUAAAAAAAAGUGUUAAUUGGCACACACGCAACAAGCAUUUAGCAAGAUGCUAGUUAAUAAUUAAAAGUCGUCUAUGUUCACUUUGAGUGAUUAAAGAAAGAACGUUUCCAUGGGAAGUGAAUAUAAGAUUUUCAUCAGGCUGAUCUUGAGCCGCCAUCCAAGCAUGAAUAUUGUUAUAACACUUACUUGUGUUUUAUCAUAUAGUGAAAGUUAAUUUUAGAGUAUAGGCAAUUUUAGAAGAAUGGUUAUAUGCAGUGGCGGAGUUAAGAUUUCUGCCAAGAUUUUAUUCAUAUGGGGGUGCAAUAAAAGAUCAACCAAAAUGAAUUUUGGCCCUUAAUACACAGACCCCUAAAACCUUUUGUGAAUGAAAAAAAGCUAAGGAGAUCAAAUUUUUAGACUAUUCUAGUAAACCAGAUGAUAUAGCGUUGAUAAAUGGGCCACGCUUUAGUGAUUAAAAAACUAAGGCCAUCUCCAGUUACGAAGGACUAAAGAUAACUUUGGGCUAUGUUUGUUUUUUUUUUUUUUUUUUUUUACUUUUUUGGGCCAAAUUUUUAACUUGAUAUGGUGCCACUCAGUACUACGGUCGAAUUGUAUUCAUCUUCACUUGUAAAUGAGAGGUCUUGAGUUCGAUUCUCGUCAAAGACGAAUUUAAACCAUAUUAUUGAUAGUGCAUUGUGAGACUUAGCUCACUCUUGUAUCCCCUUAAUGUAGUCUAUAGCCCUUAGUUGAAGAUAGUUUAAGUACCGUUUGUUUGUUUGGUGUUGACAAUUUAGUGGGUGAGUGAAGGUUAAACUAAUUACUUGACCUUGCUUUUCUGUUGCAAAACAUGGAGUCAAAGCCUGGGUGGUCUACCAUGCAAUGCAAUUCAAAAGAUGGAAAACACUUUAUUCAUUGUGACCUUGCUUUUCUGUUGCAAAACAUGGAGUCAAAGCCUGGGUGGUCUACCAUGCAAUGCAAUUCAAAAGAUGGAAAACACUUUAUUCAUUGUGCUUUCCUCAUCCACGACCACGACUAGUAAUUUGACCAAUUUUGAGAACGUUCCUCAUCCUUCCACGCAACUCCCAACAAUUUCAAAGGAAUCCCUCCUUAUCAUGAAACCUCGUUGAGAACUGCGACGGAGCAAACGCGACGGACCAGCAAACUAGGUGCUGGAUUGUGAUCCCCACUUCGCGACCUAGCGUUCCGUCUUUUCGUUUUAGGGGUUUGACAUUUUUAUAAAGUGAAUGAAAUUGUCGACCCGAUUUCUCUUUCGUCUAAACUGUCUAAAAUAUUACUAUUAUUUACCUUAUGUGUUGGUGGUCUUAUUUUUAUCGAAAAUAUAUUACAAAUGUAGUAUAAAAAAUAUAAUAAAUAUAACUUUAUUGUUUACUUAUUGUUUAUCGCUCAAUUAUUUUUCACUCAUCCUACAACCACACGACGCUGCUAGUGAUUGAUUUUUUUUUUUAAUUUAUGCGCGUAUGACGUGGACCUUUAAUAUUCGAAACGCGUGCCAUACAAUUUGAACCACUCGUGAGACAGCUCCAGAUUACGUCAAGACAAUAUAAUGCAUGGUCAAGUGAAGUUAAGAGGGCUUGGCAAAGAAAAGUUAUAAAUUAAAAAUUAAAAAAAAAAUUAAAAAUAAAGAGGAAUUUGAUGUAUGGGAAAUGAAAUUUGAGAAUUAGAAUUCCCUUCACACGUUUGAUGUAUCCAUAGUCCAUACUUGAAAAGUCGGGAGAAAAAAUGUAAUGUGUUAGAGAAUGGAUGAGAAAACCAACGGAUUUGCUUUUCCCAAUCUUUUUCAUCAUUUAGUACGAACUUUUAGUGUUUAUUUAAAAAACAAAAAGACUAAUGAAAAUGGAUCGGCAAUUUUUUUCUUUAACCAAAAACACGUAAUGAAUUUUUAUUAAGAGUAAACUGCCGAUUUGCCCCCUGAACUAUCACCCAACUUUCAAUUUGCCCCCUGAACUUUUUAAUUAGAAAAUUAAGGACUUAAACUAAUUUUUUUGGCCGAUUUCCCCCCUACCGUUAGUUUUUCAUAAAUUUCAUCCAAAUUAACGUUAAAUCUUAUCAUGUGCAAACCAUAUAACUCUCAUUUGUGGACAAAAGCGUCAUUUCACUAGACCUUCAAACAGAAAAGCUAUAGAAUCACACAUAUUUGCAUAGGUUUAUAUUUUAGAAAUCUAAGGUUUUCAAUUAUUUUAAAGAAUGAAGUGACCGAACUACCCACACAUGUUGUGCAUAUGCUUCCAUUUAACAGAAAUUUGGAUGCAAUAAAUGAGAAAUUAACAGCAGGGGGCAAAUUGGCCAAAAAAAUUAGUUUAAGUCCUUAAUUUUCCAAUUAAAAAGUUCAGGGGGCAAAUCGAAAGUUGGGUGAUAGUUCAGGGGGCAAAUCGGCAGUUUAAGUCUUUUUAUUAAUGAUAAGAACAAAAAAUAUGUCCCUGAUCUAGAUAUACGUCCAGAAUCAACACGUGACGUCAAGAUGGUAGUGGCGUGAUAGUAUAUCAAAAUCAUACUAGACCCAGUAUUUCAAUAAAAUACAUAAACCAAGUUCCUAAUAAAUAAUGCCCUAGGCUCGCAAUGUGAAGUACUGAAAUAAAAGAUAAAUAAAGACAAGGGACCUAGUCACUCUAGAUGCUCAACCCCAACACAACUACCCUUGAAAUCUCACGUAUCUAAUGAUACAUGUCAACCUGCAAAAGCGGUACUACACCAUGGGAAUGCUGCAUCGGGCAAAUGUCACUAGUCUUAACACACAGAAAUGAAAAGAUAGAAGAAAUGCGAAAAGUCAAAGAAGAGAGAAAGAAAACUUUGUUAUUACAACAAUAGCAGUUUCAUUACAUUGGAAAAUGACUUAGCUCACUAUAUAUAGUGACUAGAAUACUUGGCCACCAAGGAUACUUGUAACUAACUAUAACAAUCAAGACUAUAAGGGGGCGUUUGUUUGCCCUCAUUAAGUGGGACUGGACUGGAGUGGACUAGCUGUUAGUCCAAUAUUGUGUUUGUUCCAUGCUGGGACUAACAUUAAUGAGACUAAAGGGGACUAGCAUGGACAAAACCCUUCACUAAGAGGUCUUAGUGAGACCCCCAAUAACCAUGGGACUAGCUAAGACUAUCCUCUCUCGUCCUCGUCAUGCUCAACAACCACUCCUGAUAGACUCUUCGUCAUCUCCGGUCACCUAGAUCAUAAUAAAAUAUUAAUAAUUUAUAUAUUAAAUAAUAUAAUAUUAGAAUUUGUUAUUAUCCAGCUUCUUAGUCCAACACUGCACCAAACGCUUCACUAAGUUAGUCCAGCUUAGUCUAGUCUAAGCCAGUCCAGCUUAGUCCUUGAAGCUAGUCCAGUGCGAGAUAGUCCGGCCCAACAAACGCCCCCUAAGAUCAUUACACAUGUCAUAGCAGAGAUUAUGCCACUUGGCAUUCUUAUGGUUAAUAACUAGUAAGGGAAUCCUUGAAAUAUGACUCCGCCUUUAAUCAAAUAGUUUCAGCUAAGUCCAACGAAUGUGCCUGUGGCAAGUCGAUUUCACCCAAAAAGUUUGGGUACUCAUAUAAGUUCCAAAGCUCGUGUGAGUAGUAAGUAGACAAACUAUGGACUCACAAUAUAAACUAGGGUUUACUAAAUAGGCUAUGUUAUACAUCCAUAAGUACCAAUGCUCAUCGUCUAUUUCCUACCACAAGCUUCCUAGCCAUGAUAACACAACCUCAAUCGUGUUUCUAGUCAGUCGCACAUGUCAUCUCAAAUUCUCCUAGAUCACUAAUCAUCCAUGUCAUGCAUAAAGCAAAACUGUAGAUCCAGGAUGGCAUAAUUGGGCCCAAGCCCACAUUUCAUAUGAUUCCAAAAACCCUCAUGGAGCUAUCUAGCAAAAAAAUAUAGAGUUCUAGAACUACUCUUUAAAACUCGACAAGCCUGAAUCAUUGGUAUCACAACUACUCAACGGAACCAACUAGGAAUAGGAUUCCAGACUAAUUCAAUGGAAUUGUAACAACCCGUCCUAAUUUUACCAUUUUAUUAAUUUUAAAAUAGUGAAUUGACGAAAAUGCCCUAGAAGCGAGUGGGUUAACUUCCAUUGACCGUCGUAUAGCGACAUAUAUGAUCCAUUCUUUUAGCAUAUAUGUGUAGCUUUACAUCCAUUCUUUGUUGGAAGUAUGCCCACAAAGCCACUCAUUUGAUGUAAUAGCUUUUGGAAUACUUAUUGUAUUAAACUUUUAUAUGUUUAAUGAAGGGCAAAGCUUAUUGUUAAUCAUUAUUUAUUGUAUCUUGUGUUUAAGCAAUAAGGGAAUUCAAGGAAUGUAUUUGAUCUAAGAGAUAAGUGAUUUAAGUAAGUUAGAUUAACGAGACCUUUCUCUUAUGUUCAUUCCUAAAACGUUUCUAGCCAUAGGAUUGCCAAUUGGGCAUUGACAAUCCGCUAAGGUUAGUAUGUGUUAUGUCGACUCAAGCGCGAGUAUGACAAGUCUCAAUUCAUUUAGUGUUGGACACUAAGGCAAACAUAUAGGUGCUCGAAAGAGUGAUCGAGUACACUGAACAACGAUCAAAAGAGAGUUCGAACAUACAUGUCAUGUAAGAACUCGAGAGUUGCAAUAUGCAAAGUAGUCCUUUGACCUGAGGCAUAAUAAAUGUCUAAUGGUUAGGUCCUUGAUCUUUGAUCAUGUUAAAGGCAUUCCAUUGGAAUGUCCACGACAUUGUUGGGGUCAAGCUAUCUAGUCGUGUAGGCAUAUGAAUGCACAACAAGGGAUCUCUAACCUUCCAUGGUGGAAGGAGAAUACUCUAAGAUAUGAUUCGAAAGUCUUUGGCCAAAGCAUAUGAAUAUGACUUAGGAAGUUUGUUCCAAAUCAUAUUCAAUUGAAUCAUAUAGAUAAGUAUCACAUUGGAUAGUAGACAUGAAACAAACUAUCACUCAAACAAUGUGAUUAAGAGUAUUGUAUUAGAGAAUGAACGUAUUGCAUUGUAGUUGUAACUGGAUAGGUUCUCCAACCACUUCUACUUAGCUUGGGUAACCAUGAUAUGCUGCUAGGUGUCACUCAUGGUUUGUGGAAGCCCUAAAGAUUAGCAAACACUAAUUUUAAGGGAGAAUUGAAAUGUGGUUUCAAUUCGCAAUCGAUCGUUAAAAGUAACAAUCGCCCACUACCUUGCUAAAUGGAACCUAAUGGAUCGUACACCGAAUAAGGAUGUUGGUGAAGAAAUUAAAUGAAAUGGAUGAGCAAUUAAAUGGUUUAAUUGAAGAAUGGUCAAGAUUAAUUAAUUAGUUAAUUAAUUAUACGAAAUGUUCGUAUUGGGCUUAUAUGUUGGUUUUAGGUUUCGGGGCCCAAAAGCGUUUUGGUCCACAAGGCCCAUUAUGUUUAAGUUGUAUGACAACUAAAACAAAAUGGGCAAAUUAGCCCAAUAACAAGGUAAGGCCGGCCAUAGGGUGAGGGGUUGCAAAUUUGGAUUAAUUACAAGUUUGCCACUCACAUGUGAUGAAGUAUAAAUUCAACUUUAUAGCUUUAUUUCAUUUAGGGUUUUUCUUGGUGAAAUGAGGUGAAACACUUUCUCUCAUUUUCUCUAAAGAGGCCGGCCACUUAGAGGAGUUUUAGCUAGCAAUCUAUUCUUCUCUAAGUCAUCCAUUUCAUCUUCACAAUCACAUCCUUGGUGAAGAGACUUAGAGACAUCAAACUUUUGGUGUUUUGGAGAACAAAUCCUCAAAUCCUCAAAUAAGCAAAUGAGCACUAAAAGGAGGAAAAUCACAAGGAAGAUCCAAGGAGCAAGGAGGUGACUUGAAGGCCCUCCACUUGGGUGAAUCCCUUGUGUAAACAAGGAUGAGCUUCAAGGGUAAAGAAACUCUAAAUCUUACCUUCUCUUUAAAUGUUGUUAAAGAGUUUAUUGGUUCACCAUAUACUAGGCUUUGAAAGUCAUGGGUUUUAUGAAUUGUUUUUGAAUGCAUGCCUACUUUAAAGUGUUAAUAGUUUGCAUAUGUAUUCAAAUGUUCUUACUUGUUCUGAGCUAGGACAAAUUUUUCCUUCAAGUGGUAUCAGAGCCUAGGCCUAGUUUAUGGUGAAUCCUUUUGGGUUUUGUGAUUUUCAUGAUUUGUGAUUUAAAUGUUGUAAAUGUUACAAGCUUUGUUCUUGAUUUUGAAUAUAAAUUUUGCUAGAAACUUUAGCAUCUCAAAUGUUGUAGAUGUAUUUCAUUUAAGCAUGAAUAUUGGAACUAAAAUUUGGUGCCAUGUAUGUUGGGAAAUUCGGCCAAAUCCAAAGGGUGAUUUUUUGGGUUCAUGUUUGUCUUGUUAAAAUGGUAUUAAAGUGACUUUUGGAACCCCUAAGUACCCUAGGAUAUUAGCCCUCUUUUGAGUGGUGAAAAUUUGAGUUUUGGUGAGUGAAAACAUUCAUGGAGCUAUUAUGAGUUUUCAUGAGUGUUCUUCAAUGUUCUUGAAGUUCUUGCCAAGAACAAAAAGUUUUGAAGUUUUGAUUCAAAAUAUUUAUGUUUUUCAUAAAGUUUUGGUUUAUUAUUUGAUGGGUGAUGGUUAUUGGUGAGAAGUGAUUAAAUGGCUUUAAUGUUUGUCAUAGACUUUAAGUUUUCUUAUCUACCCAUCCAAAUCACCUUUACCUCACCCACCAAAAUCAACUUGCAAAUCUUUUUCAAAAAUUUCAAUUGUUCACUCCUUGGCCGGCCACCCUAACAAGUGGGGUACUUUUUGGGCCUUUUAUGCAAUUACAUAAAGUUUUGAUACUUUUAUGUAUUUGCACUUUGGCCUAAAAGUUUACGUUUUUACGUUAGGGCCCAAAAACUCUCAAGGACAAAUUGUUUUGAUCCUUUAAUGAUGUUUUUACAUUAUUAAAAUUUUGGGUUCUAGUUGAAAUUACAUGAAGUUAUGGACUUUUGUGUUUUUCAAAGUGACCCCAAAAGUUUGUGUUUUUGCAUUGUGGCCCAAUUGUUGUGGUCAUAGUUUCCUUUUGGCCCAAAUAAAAUGAGAACAAAAUGGUUUUGUCUCUUUAAUGAGAAUUGGAUUUUCAUUUCAUUUAGUUCCAUUUAAAUCAAUUCUAUGGAUCCAAAAACCAAUUGUUUAAAGUUGUUUUCUUAGUUAAUGUGAUUGAUUAAGAAAAUGGUGAUUAUGAACCAAAGGCCUCGAUAAUUGAGCUAUGUGAUUGGCCACUUUACAUUAUGAAUGUUUGGGUUAAGUAGUGUAGAAUUGAAUGUAAUUUAAUUAAUUCAAUUUGUUGUAAAUGGACAUAAGUCCAUCAUUUGUGUUGUAAAAGGGCAUAAGCCCUUCUUAUUAUUUCAUGUAUUCCUAUUUGUUUAAUUGUAUGCAAAUUGGAAUAGUUGGGUCAAACGCCCAAUAGGAAAUAACGGUUUAAUUGGAUUAAACGCGUAACUAAAAUCAACAACUAUCUACCUUAAACCCAAGGUCCAACACAAGGCUCGUGUUGGAUCAAAUCAAACGGUUCAUAAUCAUCCUAAAACCUAAUAUGACUUUAUAGUCCAUAUGAGGAUGCAAUGCGUUCGUUAGUAGUUCCAUAUAGUCUUGCUUGUUUCAACGAAACAGUGGGAGUAUUAUAUGCUACUAAUUCAUAUUAACUUGGACCAAUAGUUGUGAUAGGCCCAAGUUCUUUUAAUAAGAUUAAAAUGAUUUUGAUGUAGCCCAAACUACUCCCUCAACAAACGAAUAUUAAGUUGAUAAGCGAGAGAUGUUUUGAACAUCUCUUCGUAGGCCUUCCACCGUGGUGGGCUCCAAUCGUUUGUGACUCAUGCACCUGCUUCACCCUAUCAUGGGGGAGUUCAAAGUAUGUGCUUACAUCCAGGAGGAGUCCAUAAACAUAUGAUGAGGUGAGUGUAGGCAACGAGGAUAGCCGACAUCGUAUCAUCGUGAGGCUAUUCUUGAACCCCUUCACAAACUAAGCAUGGUGGGAAUAACUUAACUAAGUGCAAUGGAGCCGACAUCGUAUCAUCAUGAGGCAACAUUCUCUAAAGGCCAAACGGAUGGGUAAUUACAAAAGUUGUAAAUGAAUAAAGCGUUAUUCUCUCAUCAUUAUUUUUGCUAACCAACAUCGUAUCAUCGUGAGGUGGGCUUGGUAAUGGUGAGUCUUCCAUACCCCGCUUAGAGUUCAAAAUAACUCUCGAAUUCCAUUGAGGGAUGUGGAAUUUGCCAAAAAUAGUGGGUGGUACUAUUUGAUUUAAGACCCAAUCAAGUAGUUUUAAAACAAACAAUCUAAUACGAUUUCUGUUAUGUUAUGUAGUUAACGACAUGCCUAAAAUAAUACCCACCAUUAUACUUGACAAAAGGGGCCUUAAGGGCCAACGUUUCCUUGCUUGGUAUUGCCACAUUGAGAAUGUCUCAAAGGUGAAAGACAUAUUGUAUGUGCUUAAGCAAUCCCCUUCUCAUGUACCUCCUACGAAACUAGCUUCAAAAGAGGAGUGUCAAAAUUAUGUUAGACACUAUGAGGAUGACUUACAAGCCAAAUGCUUAAUCCUCACUUCACUUGGUGAGGAGCUUAUGAAGCUACAUAAGCACAUGGACACUUCUUGUGCCAUGGUUGAAAGUUUGCAUAAGAUGCAUGACAAUGAGACUAGUAAUGUACGAUUCUCAAAUGUUUGUAGUCUAAUGAAUGCCAAAAUGGCAAAGGGGACAUCGGUCCAUAAAUGGACAAAAGAUGGAAAGGAUCUUUCAAGAUCUUCAAAGUUUAGGAACUUCCAUCGAUGGGAAAAUGGCCCAAGACUUUUUCCUUGCAUCUCUCUCGGAUGAUUUCACUAAGUUUAUUGUAAACUAUAAAGUGAAUAGAUUUGAUCAUUCUUUAAACGAGAUGAUUGACAUGUGCUGUAAACUUGAAAAAGGUUUCAAAAUGGACAGUGGGAGUGAGAAUGCAAACACAAGGAAAAGGUUGCAUAAGAAGAAGGCAAAGAAAUCCAAAGGAACAUGCUUUCAUUGUGGAAAGGAUGAACGUUGGAAGAAGAAAUACAGGGUGCGCAUUGCGAGCCUUAUGACACGAACUUUUGAAGAGACUAUUUCUAUCAUAGAGAGUUCUUUUACAGUGAGCUCCAAUUCCUGGAUAUUUGAUUCAGGCGUUAGUCAACAUAUCUAUAAUACGAUGCAGGGACUAGCGGGGAGCAAAUCACUACGCAAUGGGGAUAUGGUUGUGCGAGUUGGGAACGUCACUAAAAUCUCUGCAAAAGCAAUAGGCACCUACAUGCUUAACCUACCCUCUAGGGAAGUCCUGGAACUUAAAAAUUGUUUAUAUUUUCCUUCAUGUAUAAAGAAUUUGAUUUCCAUCUCUAAGCUUUUACGAGAUGGGCACUCAGUAUUGUUUGACAAAAUGAGUUGCACUUUAUACUUGAACGGUCGUAUUAUCUCUCAUGGUAAUAUGAUAGAGGGACUUUUUCACCUAGAGACGAAUGGUGGGAUGCAUUGUAUUGCAGGCGGGAAUACCUCAAAACCCAAAAGGGCUAGAGAAGAAGUUAACCAAGAAAAGAUGUGGCAUCUUAAACUUGGACAUGUGAACCUUGAUAAGAUUCACAAGAUGUCGAAAGACGGAUAUAUCCGCCCAUUAGGUAAUGACCAGAUGGGUACUUGUGAAUGUUGCUUGAAAGGGAGGAUGACCAAAUCUCCAUUUACUGGAAAAGGAAAGCGUGCCACUGAAAUUCUAGGGUUAAUCCACACUGACGUAUGUGGACCUAUGUCUACUACGUCGAAAGGAGGCUUCUCCUACUAUAUCACAUUCACCGACGAUCACUCUCGGUUUGGCUAUGUGUAUCUUAUGAAGUACAAGUCAGAAUCCUUUGAAAGGUUCAAGGAAUUCAAGAAUGAAGUUGAGAAGCAAACUGGGAAACAGAUAAAGAUCCUAAGAUCGGAUCGAGGGGGUGAAUAUCUGAGUAAUGAGUUCCUAGAUUAUCUCAAAGAGUGUGGAAUAAUAUCACAGUGGACUCCACCGGGAACUCCACAACUUAAUGGAGUCUCUGAAAGGAGAAAUCGAACCUUGAUGAAUAUGGUUCGUUCUAUGAUGAGCUCCGCCGAUCUACCAGUAACAUUUUGGGGAUACGCUCUAUAUACAGCAGCUUACUUGCUUAAUAGAGUACCUUCAAAAUCAGUUUCACAAACGCCCUAUGAGAUAUGACAUGGAAGAAAGCCAAGUCUUAAUCACAUUAAGAUUUGGGGUUGUGAAGCAUAUGUCAAGAAGCUUGAAGCUACUAAGCUUGAAGCGAGAUCAGUAAGGUGCUAUUUUGUGGGAUAUCCUAGAGAAACUAUGGGAUAUGAGUUCUACCAUCCUGACGACCAGAAAGUCUUUGUCGCCAGAACUGCUAAGUUUCUAGAGGACGAAUUUGUUCUCAAAGGAAUUAUAAGCAAAGAGAUGGAAAUUAAUGAGAUUAAUGAUGAACCACAAACAAGCACUCGACAAGUUGACAACCCUGCUUUUGAACCCCUAGCUCCACGUAGAUCUGAACGGGUUAGUAAGCCACCUAAGAGGUAUGGCUUAGACAAUAACUUUGUAGAAUUGCACCUUCUAGGUGACAAUGACACAAAGGAGGACCCUAGGGACUACACUGAAGCAAUGUCCGACAUUGAUUCAAAGAGAUGGCAAGAGGCCAUGAAAUCCGAGAUGGAUUCCAUGUAUCAAAAUCAGGUCUGGACUCUUGUAGACCCUCCAGAAGGUAUAGUACCUGUUGGAAACAAAUGGGUCUUUAAGAGGAAGAUAGGCGUUGAUGGGAACGUGGAGACUUAUAAGGCUAGACUCGUAGCCUAGGGUUACAGGCAAAUAGAAGGGAUUGACUAUGAAGAAACCUUUUCUCCUGUAGCCAUGAUUAAGUCCAUUCGGAUUUUGCUUGCUAUAGCUGCAUACCAUGAUUAUGAGAUCUGGCAAAUGGACGUGAAGACGGCCUUUCUGAACGGCUACCUAGAGGAAGAGCUCUAUAUGACUCAACCCGAAGGUUUCGUGUCCAAGUCUGAAAAGACUAAGGUAUGCAAGCUUCAAAGGUCCAUUUAUGGACUUAAGCAAGCCUCCAGGAGCUGGAACAUUCGUUUCGAUACUAAAAUCAAAACGUUUGGUUUUACUCAAAACGAAUACGACAAUUGUGUUUAUCAAAAAGUCGUUGGGGAUGCAGUAGUAUUCCUAGUGUUAUAUGUAGAUGACAUAUUACUAUUCGGGAAUGACACUGCAGUACUUUCUUCUGUAAAAGUGUGGUUGUCCAAAACCUUCCACAUGAAAGAUUUGGGAGAUGCAUCUUAUGUACUUGGGAUAAAGCUCUAUCGUGAUAGAUCCAAUAAAUUAAUUGGAUUAUCCCAAUCUAUGUACAUAGAUAAGGUGCUAAGUAGGUUCCAAAUGGAACAAUCUAAGAAAGGUCUUCUUCCUGUAAGACAUGGAAUUCACCUUUCUAAGUCCAUGGGACCUAAAACUUCUGAAGAGAUACGGCAGAUGAGUGCUAUUCCUUAUGCCUCCGCCAUAGGAAGUCUCAUGUAUGCCAUGAUAUGCACAAGGCCUGAUAUCGCAUAUGUUGUGAGCAUUACUAGUCGAUAUCAAUCUAACCCAGGAUCAGAACACUCGACAGCUGUCAAGACCAUCCUUAAGUACUUAAGAAGAACUAAGGACAUGUUCCUCGUUUAUGGAGGAGCAACAGAGUUGCGAGUGGAAGCCUAUACAGACGUAGAUUUCCAAUCUGAUGUCGAUGAUAGAAGUUCCAACUCCGGAUAUGUAUUCACUCUGAAUGGUGGGGCUGUUAGCUGGAAAAGCAAGAAACAAAGUGUAAUUGCUGAUUCCACGACAGAGGUAAAAUAUGUCGCUGUAGCUGAAGCCGGCAAAGAAGCGUUCUGGAUGAAGAAGUUCAUUACUGAACUUGGAGUGGUUCCAACCAUUACAUCACCAGUAACUUUGUACUGUGAUAAUAGUGGGGCGAUAGCUCAAGCCAAGGAACCCAGGGCUCAUCAAAAGAACAAGCAUUUUGACAGGCGCUUUAAUAUCAUUAGAAGAUAUGCUGCCGAGGAGAAAGUCAACAUCCUCAAAGCUGCCUCAGCCGAUAACGUAGCAGAUCCACUGACAAAGCCAAUGUCUCAAAUCCAACUUGACCGUCAUAUGGAAAGGAUGGGUAUUAGAUACAUGGGAAUGUGGCUUUGAGUGCAAGUGGGAGAUUGUUGGAAGUAUGCCCACAAAGCCACUCAUUUGAUGUAAUAGCUUUUGGAAUACUUAUUGUAUUAAACUUUUAUAUGUUUAAUGAAGGGCAAAGCUUAUUGUUAAUCACUAUUUAUUGUAUCUUGUGUUUAAGCAAUAAGGGAAUCCAAGGAAUGUAUUUGAUCUAAGAGAUAAGUGAUUUAAGUAAGUUAGAUUAACGAGACCUUUCUCUUAUGUUCAUUCCUAAAAUGUUCCUAGCCAUAGGAUUGCCAAUUGGGCAUUGACAAUCCGCUAAGGUUAGUAUGUGUUAUGUCGACUCAAGCGCGAGUAUGACAAGUCUCAAUUCAUUUAGUGUUGGACACUAAGGCAAACACAUAGGUGCUCGAAAGAGUGAUCGAGUACACUGAACAACGAUCAAAAGAGAGUUCGAACAUACAUGUCAUGUAAGAACUCGAGAGUUGCAAUAUGCAAAGUAGUCCUUUGACCUGAGGCAUCAUAAAUGUCUAAUGGUUAGGUCCUUGAUCUUUAAUCAUGUUAAAGGCAUUCCAUUGGAAUGUCCACGGCAUUGUUGGGGUCAAGCUAUCUAGUCGUGUAGGCAUAUGAAUGCACAACAAGGGAUCUCUAACCUUCCAUGGUGGAAGGAGAAUACUCUAAGAUAUGAUUCGAAAGUCUUUGGCCAAAGCAUAUGAAUAUGACUUAGGAAGUUUGUUCCAAAUCAUAUUCAAUUGAAUCAUAUAGAUAAGUAUCACAUUGGAUAGUAGACAUGAAACAAACUAUCACUCAAACAAUGUGAUUAAGAGUAUUGUAUUAGAGAAUGACCGUAUUGCAUUGUAGUUGUAACUGGAUAGGUUCUCCAACCACUUCUACUUAGCUUGGGUAACCAUGAUAUGCUUCUAGGUGUCACUCAUGGUUUGUGGAAGCCUUAAAGAUUAGCAAACACUAAUUUUAAGGGAAAAUUGAAAUGUGGUUUCAAUUCGCAAUCGAUCGUUAAGAGUAACAAUCGCCCACUACCUUGCUAAAUGGAACCUAAUGGAUCGUACACCGAAUAAGGAUGUUGGUGAAGAAAUUAAAUGAAAUGGAUAAGCAAUUAAAUGGUUUAAUUGAAGAAUGGUCAAGAUUAAUUAAUUAGUUAAUUAAUUAUACGAAAUGUUCGUAUUGGGCUUAUAUGUUGGUUUUAGGUUUCGGGGCCCAAAAGCGUUUUGGUCCACAAGGCCCAUUAUGUUUAAGUUGUAUGACAACUAAAACAAAAUGGGCAAAUUAGCCCAAUAACAAGGUAAGGCCGGCCAUAGGGUGAGGGGUUGCAAAUUUGGAUUAAUUACAAGUUUGCCACUCACAUGUGAUAAAGUAUAAAUUCAACUUUAUAGCUUUAUUUUCAUUUAGGGUUUUUCUUGGUGAAAUGAGGUGAAACACUUUCUCUCAUUUUCUCUAAAGAGGCCGGCCACUUAGAGGAGUUUUAGCUAGCAAUCUAUUCUUCUCUAAGUCAUCCAUUUCAUCUUCACAAUCACAUCCUUGGUGAAGAGACUUAGAGACAUCAAACUUUUGGUGUUUUAGAGAACAAAUCCUCAAAUCCUCAAAUAAGCAAAGGAGCACUAAAAGGAGGAAAAUCACAAGGAAGAUCCAAGGAGCAAGGAGGUGACUUGAAGGCCCUCCACUUGGGUGAAUCCCUUGUGUAAACAAGGAUGAGCUUCAAGGGUAAAGAAACUCUAAAUCUUACCUUCUCCUUAAAUGUUGUUAAAGAGUUUAUUGGUUCACCAUAUACUAGGCUUUGAAAGUCAUGGGUUUUAUGAAUUGUUUUUUAAUGCAUGCCUACUUUAAAGUGUUAAUAGUUUGCAUAUGUAUUCAAAUGUUCUUACUUGUUCUUAGCUAGGACAAAUUUUUUCCUUCACUCAACCCAACAUUCCCGCAGGCAGGAUGCCUGUAUGCCCAACAUUCCAGCAGCCCAUGAGGCCCGCGACCUCCUCAUUUCUCUCAAUCGCCGACCUAGCCCAAGUCAGGUCCAAGAGCCCAAAGGGCAUGAGCCAUGUGGCUCGCCUAGCACUGUGCCCAUGAGCCUCAAUCUACGGCCCCAGCCGCACAAGUUGCCCUUGGUUCUAGCCAAGCCAAGCAACCCAAGCAGUGGUCCCUUCCACAACACCUCGUCGGCCUAUGUCGAGCGACUCCUGGCCCUUGUCAGCCGACAUGCCACACCUCCCCAACGGUUGCCCCGUGACAGCAUUAUCUAAGAAAAAAACAAGAAAAAAUAAAUUUUUAUUACCUCGAUGCAAGGCGGAGAAUACGAAGAAAGCAACGAAAGACGGUUCUUUGCACGGGUAAGUGUAGAAGAUUGCUAGGGGAAGGGAACAAAUAUCAUCCAUCUCUCUCUCUCUCUCUCUUGCAGGGUAGAAUAAAUUGCUCUCCAAAGUUGAUUUAAUAACCCACUUAAGUUGUACUUAAAUAGGCUUUAAGAGAAAUUUAUUUCCCUUUCCUAGAAGGAUUUAAUUUCCUAUUAAAGAGGGAAUCUACAUCAAAAUAGGAAGAAAAUCUUUACACUUGUUGCCCCCCAACAGGUGUGGGGGCAUUUGUGGAGCCAAAAAUAAUCAAGAGACGACACGUGGAUUCUAGGGUAAAAAUGACAAAAUUACUUUCGAGGAACACCGGAAUUCUUACGCGCGAGUAGUGGACAAUAAUCUCACAAUUAAGUCAAAAGUUCCCACAAUAGGUAUUUAUUCAAAACCUAUUUCAUCCAUCCUCAUCAAAUCUUCUCCACAAGGUAACCCCCAAAACAUUCCUUUCAAAUUAUAUUAAUUAGCUAAUUAAUUGAUUUAUUACCUAAUUAAUCUAUUAAUUGGCUAAUUAACUACCAAUUACACCCAAAAAAUGCCACAAAUGGCCGAUUACCAUCUCUCCAAAGGGGGGCAACCAUGCCCUAUAUAUACUACCCCAUUUUCUCUAAAUUCUCCAAACACUUUUCCCUCAAAAUUCUAACUUUGGCAUCGGAAAUUCUUCUGCCAAAGCCCCCUAUUCAUCGUGGGCGCGUAAGUCUCUUGGCCUUGACCAAAGGUGUUAUUUGUUUUGUAGGUGCAAUUUUGUUCAAGAACAAUGAGGAAGAAAUUUGUAUCCAUAAUUACAUUUUGAAAAGGUUCUUUAUUUUUAGGCCCACUAACCCUUGUUUUUCGCCCCUCCAGGUUUUAGUAGCAGAGCUUUCGUAUCGAUGAGGAUUCUUGGCAAAUGUUGGUAUAGGAGUGUACCCUGGACGGUAUAAUUCUUAUCCUACCUUUACUAUAUUGUACUUAUGCUCUGACAUCACGUGUGAGUUAGGUUCACUCCCACUCACAUGCGCACUCUUGCAUUUAGGCACUUUUAGGUUUAAAUUUACUCACAUUUUUUUACAUCACUACACUUUAUAGCUUUUUCACCCUCCGAAUGUCGGCUAGCACAACUCGAUUUGGGGUCCAGGGGGACAUCCUACGUCGGGGUGUGUUAGAAUCAUAGGAUAUAGGGUUCAGACCAACUUAACGAAACCAUGUAAGAAUAGAAUUCCAUACUAGCUUAAUGGACUCCCACUAGGAAGCGGUCACCCAUCACAGAUUUACAAAGGACAAUCACUCUUUACAACCCUAGGUAGGCAAUGAUCACCCAUCAUGGAUAUACCAAGCGUGAUCACUACUAAAAUUAGUGUGGUCCCCAAUGCGAAUUAACCAAGUAGGACUAUAGGCAUAAAUAUAAUAAUGUGGUUCCCAAUGCAAAUUGACCAAGUAAGACUAAAGGCUAGUUUGGUAUUGUAAUGCUUUACAAAAAAAAAUGCUUUUGCUAUGCUAUAAGAAUAAACAGCUGUAAAAUAAAGCAAUUGGGUGUUUGGUAAACUUUUUUUUAUAAAAGUAUUUUCAACAAAAAAAUAGUGCUUGAGUGUUUGGUAAAAGUUUAUAUAAAACUGUUGUGGUUAUAUUAAAUGACUAAAAGGGAUAUGUACUUAAUCUAAUAUAAUUUUGUCCUUGUAACCUUUUUUCUAUAAGUUUUAUUCAUAACUUUUUUUAUUUAUAAUCCUUUUAGAAUUUCUAGAGUCAUUGAUCAUACUCUUUUUUCUUUCCAUCUAACAUCUUCCCCUCUUCAUUGGGUUUUUCUCUCGUUUUCUCUGCCUAACCUUUCCUGUUUCUCACUAGGUUUUGAAGUGUUUUUCAGGGAGAGGGAGAGAGAAAGAAACGAACCUGUAAUUUGAAGGGUUGGGGAUUCUAGAAGAUUGGUUCUACAAGAAGAAGAUAAGGAUCAGAUUAGUCAUUGGGCUUUCCUAAUUUGCAGAAAUAUGAAGAAGCAAAUUUUUUUAUGAGGAUCCAGAUGGGCGAAGCUUUGAAUUUGGGGGCAUAAUCAGAUUUACAAAAGAGCGCAUGAGUAGGUGCAAUCUGGGCAUGUCCACAAUGCAAAAACCGAAUCUAAAUCCUAAUCUGGUCUCCUGGAAAAGAUGGUGGUGUUUUGUCGACAUGGUUUUUUUAGGGUGGGAAUGGGAGAAAACAGACGAGAGAUGGAGGAAGGACGUCCUUCUAGUUGGUAUGAUGUGUAAAUUAUUUAAUUGUUUAAUGUCAUUUUGGGUGCUUGAAAGUUUCAUUGAAGGGCUUAAUUUUGGAUGUUUACUAAACGCAAAAAAGCAAGGAACUUUUUUUAUAACCGUUUUUUUUUUUUUUUUUUAAUUUAAGCAGUAUCAAAGUGGUACUAAUUCUUAUAAAACUAGUUAGUGAUCACCCAUUACGUAUAUUUACGUAUAUAUUAAGCAUGAUCACCUCUAAAAUGCGUAUGGUCCACCUUGUUAUGGAUUAACUAAGCAGGACCAUGGACAUACAUAGUGUGGUCCGCUAAUGCAGAUUAACCAAGCAUGACCAAUUCUAGUGAUACUAGACAAUGGUCACCCGUCAUGGAUAUACUAAGCACGAUCACCCCUAGACUGCAUAUGGUUCCUCAGUACGGAUUAACCAAGCAAAACCAUAAGCAUAUGUAUAAUAAUAUAGUCCCCCAAUACGAAUUAACCAAGCAGGAUCAUUCAUUUACCACAUUGCUAUAUGGUGCAGCCUCUUUAUCAACAUCACAUCAACUAAGCAUGAUCUACAUAGUGGCACACAUACUAUCGAUCCCACAUGACAAUCAAGUAUCUAGUCACACAGAAGUACAAGUUCUACAGAAUAAUUUUGAUAUGGUUACCGACUCAUCCCCUCGUACCAAGAAUGACACAUUAUCAUUACUCUCAACUCUAUCUCUUGCUAGGUAGUAAUGCAUACUUUAAUAGAGCAUUCUUAUCAUUAUAAUCAUUUGAUAAUCUAUGUAGGGACAAUUAACAAACUACUCACCUUGCGUCCAAUGCAAGCGCAAACGUGAAAGCACGUUGACCGUAGCUCAUAUAUCAUUUAAACAUAUCAAAGUAUAUAAACAUUCUUUAGCUUACUAAUUAUUGAAUACAUCUGUUGAGCAACCCAACAAACACAUAAAUCAAGGUAAGGUUCCACUUGCAUGCAACCUGAAGUGAGCAUCACCAAGGAUGGCACGCCGAAUGUAUGCCCACUAGGUUCUAUCGGGUUUCUAAUAAUGGUAACUUCAAUAUCCAAGAAUGAUAGGAACAUGUUAGACCAAAAUUCAACACAUGGUCAAAGUGGCCCCUGCUAAGGUCUAUAAUUGUAAUUAUUUCAAUCUAGAGAUUUCACACAUCGAUUUUUUAUUCGUAAAUUCAUAAGGGCAUCAUAUUACUUACACAACCACAUAUUAUGAUUUCAAAGAGAUCCAACGGUCGGUCUCCUACAACAAAGGUCAUGCGGCGGUCAAUUAUUGAACUAUGUUUUGAUGGUCGAACCUCGUCAAGUAGACAACAAAAAUGAAAUCGAGGCAUGAAAUUUAGUCUAAGAAUACAUGCCAGAUCAUUGGCUACACGCCGUGUACGUGGUGGCCGGCAACCAAAACCUUGUCAGAUUCGGACCAACAACAAAAUGUACUCAAAGUAUACCAAGUUGUAGAUCUUGGAAAGUGGAGUAAGACUUAUACCUCGCUGAAGCUUGAAAAUGGCCGGAGGACAAUGAAAACUGCCUUUGAAGUCACAUAUUCACUGAAAUUUUGUGGUGUCGUCAUGCUGUUGUGGUUGUACCCAGGAGUGAUUGGGACCCAUUGAUCUCCUCCUGUGUUCUUGGGUUAUCAACCAGGAGUGAUUGGGACCCAUUGAUCUCCUCCUGUGUUCUUGGGUUAUCGACUAGUGGUGGUGGUUAACAAGCUUGAGAAUUGUCAAUAGGGGUGGGCAUAAAAACCGAAUCGAACCGUGACAAAAAAAAAAUCGUAAAAAAUAACGUUGACCAAAAAAGUCAAAACCGGAACAAAAACCGAACCAAACCGUUUCAACCGGUUCCGGUUUGGAAAUAUUAAGAACCGGAGGAACCAGACCGACCAACUUUUAAUAUAAAUUAUUGUUUUAUUAUUAUUUUUAUAUAAAUAAGACUUUUUUCCAAGAAGACCAUGUGCAUAAGCCCAAUAUUUUUCUUCACUUCUCUCCCCCUCCUUUGUUUUUUUAUCACUUUUCUCCCUCUACAUUAUUUUUCUCCACUCUUUUCCAGUAUAUUAUGCCUUAUGUACAUUUUAGUUAUAAUUUAAUAUCUACACUUUGGUCUUGUAUGAGCCUUUCUUUCUUUUAAUUUAUAUUUAUAUGCACACUUUCUAUCUUCUGGUCACAAAUCUUGUAGAAAAUUAGAAAAAACAUAUAUAUAAUUUUGGUUAGAACCGUAAACCGGCAUGAAACGAACCGGAACCAUCAUGAAUUGAGCCGUACGAUUUUAGUAAUAAAUUUAAACGAAACCGCACCGAACCGAACAAUUGAAAUUUUCCAGUUCCGUUUCCAUUUUGAAGGUGGAGCCGGGCCGAACCGGACUGUGCCCACCCCUAAUUGUCAAGCUUUGACUUCCACAAAGUUUCUUUUUCCUUGCCUUAUAUCUUUAUUUAUAUUAAACUUGAUGGGCUUCACUUGCCUACAAGUAAUACAAAACCUAUAAAAAUGAUCUUCUAAAUCACAUAUCUACUAGAAUUUAUACAAUCAUGUUACUAAUGAUAAUAACUGCAACAAUUUCAAAAGCUUUCUUAUCACUUACUAGGGGGAAGGAGGGCCAUGUGGUUGUUUAUUUUCUGAAUCCAAUGAGAAGUUGGUCAAAGAAAUUCAGAUUGGGUCAAGCCGAUCCGUGGCCCAACUACAACGUACAUAGCUUGAGGGACUGGACCAACUCAGUUCACCUGCUUUUAGUUAAUCUUAUGCAAAGCUCGCUACAAAAUAUAAAACACAUGACAUGGGGACUCCAACAAAACAGUUGGCUUUCCGUUUUAGAUUUUUGUUUAACCAAAUACAUUCAACAAAAGCUAAUAAUUCCCUUGAGUAGCGAAGAUGAUUUGAAACUAAGCAAAAACAUUUAUUUAUCAUUAAUCUUCAUAAGCACUUAAGUGAAAUGCCCACCUACACAAGCAAAUUAAAACCCUUUGGGUUACUUAAUCAAACGUUAGAGUAUUUACCAUCUAAAUCUUAAUCUAAUUAUACAACCCUAUCUCUAUCUUUGCCAAUGGAGAGCCUAUGCUACGUAAUUGGUUGACAUAUACUGUUGAGUAUGUGACUGUAUCCCCUCGUCAAGUAACCACAACUUAAACAAGUAAAGAAGCAUUGAAGGGAAUGUGAUAUAGAUUGGAAGGAAGUGGACUUAAAGUAACGGACAUAUUUUAGAGAAGUUCAAAUUAAUGGUUUAUUGGCCAAAGAAGCACAAACCCAUGAACAAAUAGAUGCACGCGGAAGGUAAUGCCAGAAAGACUAAAUUUGUAGAUUAAAUUUACAAACUAAAUGAUUUGUCACCAAUUGGAAUAAGUAAGUUUAUCAACGCUUAAGUAAUAAUUGAAUCAUCAACUUCCGUAUGUCAUUUUGUUUCUCAGUAUUGACAACAAGUGCAGUUUUCCGUAUUUUUUAAGCUCUCUUGACUACCCAAUUAAUCUAAUGAUCUUCAGCACACUCCAUAUAUGCUAAUGCCAGCACAUGCAGGUUAAUUAAAAUUAAAAAAAAAAAAAAAAAAACUGCCAUGCAAAGAAUUGACUAAUAUAUAGUUUGGUUUUUUGAGAGUGAUUUUAAUGGAAAAUCGUACUUGGAGAGUAUUAUUUCAACACAUGAUUCAACAUGUUUCAUGAAUUACUAAUUAGAGGAUUCAGAAAAUUUUCAACGGAUAAGCUAACUAAAAAUAUUACCAUAGAAAACAGAGAAAUUAUAGAACAUUUUUAUAUGUUUGGUGAUGGAGAGGAAAAUUCGAUUGAAAAUGUUAUUGGUGUAAACAAGGAUGGUGCAUACUGCACAGCUUAAAGGAAAGGAGAGCUGGCAAGGAGGGGGAUGAAUGAAACUGAUUAGCUUUAACAUGUUUUUAUUGUUGUAGUUUUGAGACCAUGCUUUAUUUUUUAGAGUUGACUGCCACGUUUUUGAGCUUGUGGUUACGUAAUACUUUUAAUAUGCUUUUAUAGAUUUGUUGACUCUCUUAUGUUUCUUAUGUUUUUUUUUUUUGGAAAUUGGCAUGCUCCACUAGCGAUAUAGUUUUUUGCAUCUAUAGAACUUUCACCAAGGAUAAAUAAAUAAAUAAAUAAUUAUAUAUUUUUAACUACACCUCUAUUAAGUAAUAACCUUCUUACAAUAAUUAUAAAAUGGGUUUGGCCUUAAAAUUAUGAGAAUAACACUAAACUAUAAUGUUUGAAGAUAUCAAUCGAACAUAAAACCUCCCAUGUACAAAUGAGGAAAACUAUUACUAGAUUGUAUUGCUAGUGGCAUACCUAAUUUAGAUUGUAUAUUUUGAAAAAAAUAAUCAUAUUCAUUGAUAAUGAAACAUAUGUAUGCAUCGAAAGGAUAGGUACAUAGUAGUUAGCCUCAUUAAAAUCUUUUCAGAGCUUUCAACCCGAUCGAGGAAGAAAGAAUACAUGCACCAAGACCUAAUUUAAAUUGAGAAAAAAGAAUAUCACUAGACCGUAGUGUUGGAGAUGUAGUCAAACAUAAGGUCUUCCAUGUACAAGUUAAGAGAAAUAUCACUAUGUCGUAGUGCUUAUUGGUAUGUUAUUUUUGAAAUAAUUACGGUAUUUAUUGAUGAUGAAACAAAUAUAAUAUAUAUAUAUAUAUACACACACAUAAAAGAUAGGGUGCACAAUAGGUGGCCUUGUCAAAAACUUCAGAGCUUUCAACCCGAUUAAAAGAAAAGGUAUAACAAUUAAGUACCAAGUGCUAAUAUAAAUUUACAAAAGCAAUAAAGUUAUAAUCUAAACCAAAAUCCAAUUUAGGCCCCAAAAUCUAAUUACCUCCUAAAUGUGUAAUGUUAUACUUACGACAUUUUUCCUACUACAUUUAUACCAUCUUUUAAUAGAGGUAUGAUCCACCAACACAUGUGAGUUUUAUUUCUAUUAGAGAGGUGGUACAAAUGUGGUAAGAGUAACAUUUUUAAAACUAAUUAAUAAGAUAAUGAUGAGUAACUAGCUUGACUCAAAUAUGCAAGAUAGUCGCUUCCUGGUUUAGUCUUGUUAAAUAACUAUUAGAGCAACUCCACUUCUAAAAAAUGAGCUGGCCCAAAGUCCAUUUAAUCCACCCAAAUGAAUAGUAAUUGACUACAAUAAAUAGUAAUUAGCCAAGUGCAUCUCCACCCCUAAAUCCAACGAGCCUAGUCCAUUUUAUUAAAAAAUUAUUAAUUUUUUAUUAUAAAAAGUUAUCAUUUUAUUUUUAAUUUCUGACAUUUUCUUUGUUUAUAAAAAAAAAUCAUUAAUUUAUGACAUUUUAUCUAUUUUUUAAUAUUUUAAAAAAAAAAUUUUGGCCGAAAAAUAUGGACCGUUGAUUUGAAAAUCGAACUGUCCAGAUUGUGCCACGUCACUAGCCGUUGUGUUUGAAUUUCAAAAAAUUUUGACCAUUGGAAAUUCAACGGCCCAUAAAACUAGCCGUCGGAAAUCCAACGGCCGAAGAUGCCCCACGUGGCCAUAUCCCACGCCCCUUUAGUGCGCCUGCAGUGCGGGGCUUGCUGUCUGUAUCUUUGUCGGGAACGCACGCCCAUGCGCCUGACGCAAAAAAAAAAAUUUAGCAUCAGCAUGACGCUAGAUAUGCCGAUUCCUCUCUCAAUUUAUUUUGGGCUGGUUUACAAACUGGGGUGAACUUUCGGCCGACCUAUUUUUUGGGGUGGAAUGAGUUUUUGGGUGCCAGCCUAUUUGUUUAGGCUUUGGGCCAACUUCCAAAGGAGGGGUGGACUUGCUCUUAAGAAACUCACAUUCUUAAGGCAAUCUUGUAUUCUUCAUGUAUGCGAUUUCCCUUUUGUUUUGAUUGAAGGUGAUGAUAUGGAGCAUCCAAAGGUACAGGACUAAUUUGAGUGGUCAUGAUUACUUUAACCGUAGAAAACUUCAAAGAUGGUAAAAUCCAGAGGAGUAAUAUCCAGACAGCGUGCUGCUACCGCGGAUCACUGACAAUUGCUCAAAACAUGUGCAUCAACGUCUACAGUGGCGCUUGCUAUGCUUAUCUCUCUGCAACUAACCCAAUUCCUCUAUAAUCCAACCCCUCCAGCCAUUUAUGUACAUGAUAGCUAUCACACAAACUCGUUCAUAAAAAACUAUUCGUUUCUGUUUUCAUUUGUUAAAACAAAACAAUAUAUAUUAAUUAGCAGCUAGCUAGCACAGAUUUGUACAUAAACUUGCUUGUAAAUUCGUUUUUAUUUUGUAGGACAGAAAACCCUGCCACAGCCACCGUUUUUUCUGCAUUUCACAACAGCGAGAAGAUACCCUCUCUCUCUCUCUCUCUCUCUCUCUCUCUCUCUCUCUCUCUCUCUCUCACUUAAACAAUCUUCGACAGUCUUUGAUUAAAAAACAAUUUGUUCUAGGUUUGUUGUCGACAUUGUUCAUGCAUCAACCCUAUUUCUCCAAGCUCUUGUUUUUUUCGCAAACUUUAAAAAAAAAAAAAAAAAACAAUAACAAAACCUUUUUCUAUAAGAGAGGCACCAACAACCAUCUUACUCUUCAUCUCCAUCUCUCCCACUCUAAUACUCAUGAAAUUAAACAGCCCAAAACAACAAAACCCGUAUCUUCGUUUUUGAAAAAACACAACCAUGAUUACUGGCAAGGACAUAUACGAUGUUCUAGCAGCCAUAGUCCCCUUAUACGUGGCUAUGAUCUUAGCCUACGGUUCCGUCCGGUGGUGGAAAAUCUUCACGCCCGACCAAUGCUCCGGCAUAAACCGCUUCGUCGCAGUUUUUGCGGUCCCAUUGCUCUCCUUCCACUUCAUAUCCUCCAACAACCCUUACGCCAUGGACUACCAAUUCAUCCUCGCCGACUCCCUCCAAAAAGUCGUCAUCCUUGUCGCCCUCUUCCUCUGGCAAGCCUUUUCCAAGCGCGGCAACCUAGAGUGGAUGAUCACGCUCUUCUCCCUCUCCACCCUCCCCAACACCCUCGUCAUGGGCAUCCCGCUCUUACGCGCCAUGUACGGCGACUUCUCCGGGACUCUGAUGGUUCAGAUUGUCGUUUUGCAGAGCGUUGUCUGGUACACUCUCAUGCUCUUCAUGUUCGAGUACCGCGGCGCCAAACUGCUCAUCUCCGAGCAGUUCCCGGAGACUGCAGCUUCGAUCACGUCGUUCAGAGUUGACUCUGACGUCGUUUCCCUCAACGGUCGAGAACCACUCCAAACCGACGCGGAAAUCGGGGAUGACGGGAAACUUCACGUGGUGGUGAAAAGAUCGAAUGCGUCAUCGAUGGUUUCAUCCUUUAAGUCACAUGGCUUGAACUCGUUGACUUCAAUGACCCCGCGAGCUUCGAAUCUCACAGGAGUGGAGAUUUACUCUGUCCAGUCCUCCCGAGAGCCGACCCCGCGGGCAUCCAGCUUCAACCAGACAGAUUUUUACGCCAUGUUUAACGCCAGCAAGGCCCCGAGCCCCAAACAUGGAUACGCAAACAGUUUUCAAGGUGGAUUUGGGGACGUUUAUUCGGUGCAAUCGUCAAAAGGGGUGACGCCGAGGACUUCGAAUUUCGACGAAGAGGCAAUGAAGAUGAGUAAUAUGGGUAAUAAGAAAAGGGGGGCGAGGAGCAUGAGUGGUGAGAUCUUCAAUGGUGGUGCUGUCUCUUCCUACCCGCCUCCGAACCCCAUGUUUUCAGGGUCUACGAGUGGUGGGCCGAAGAAGAAAGAUAGUGGUAGCGGCGGCGGCGGCGGCGGCGGCGGUAGUGGUGGGGCAGCGCCUAAUAAGGAGCUUCAUAUGUUUGUCUGGAGUUCAAGUGCAUCGCCAGUUUCCGAAGGGAAUCUUAGACAUGCGGUUAAUCGAGCUGCUUCCACUGACUUUGGGGCGACCGAUCCUUCCAAGGCUGCAGGUCUUCAUCAACAUGAAGGUGCUGCUGCAUCGAAAGGUGAGCAAAUACUUUUACGAUCCCACACCCCAAAUCAUGUUUGUCCAUUUUGUAAAUUGCUGGAAAUUACAUCAGCAGCUUUUGUCAAUUGACACCUUAUCAAUUGGACAAAAAAUUCAUUUUUCUAUAGCAAAUCAAGGAGCUUCAUUGAUUUCCCUUGACAUAGAUCUGGUCUCUUUCCCCAAUCUGGACAGAAUUGUUUGUCAAAAGACGUGACAUGUUAUGAUUUUUGAUAACUGUUUCGUGUUUAUUUUUAGUUUUAGUUUGAUUUUUUUUAAAAUUAAAAACAAUUAUCAAACCAGUUUUCAAUUGAAAACUGACAGAGUUAUUAGAAAUAAAGUAGAGAUUUGUGAAAGAUCAUAUAUUUGAGAAAAUAAAGCAUUGCUACAUCAUUUAGUGAAUAAAAUUUGACGAACGCAUCAGCUAUUAGAAUUUCUUGUUCAAUUUACGGGUUCAUUCUAGAUUGUAAUUUGGUUAAUUUAAAUAUAUUCUUAACUGCAUGUACAGGUAUACACGAAUUAAUUGAGAAUAUGAGUCCUGGGAGGAAAAUGAGUGGAGAUAGGGAGCUUGAGAUAGAAGAAGGAUCGAAUAAGUUUCCACCGAGUGUGUCACCGUACAGUAGUACUAGUUGCCAGAAGAAAGUGGAUAUUGAAGGUGGUGUAGCAAAGAAGCACCAAAUGCCUCCUGCAAGUGUCAUGACUAGGCUUAUUCUCAUCAUGGUCUGGAGGAAGCUCAUUAGAAACCCCAACACUUACUCCAGCCUUCUUGGCGUGGCAUGGUCUCUCAUAUCAUACAAGUACCUCUCUCUCUCUCCAUAUGGUGCUACACGUAUCACAUGAACAAACUCUAUCCAGAGGGGAAAAUUAUUGGGUCUCAUCUUUACGAAAAAUGUGAUAAAAAAUAGUGUAGUAAAUACUUUUAUUGGAAAGCAACAUAUAAUGUAGUUCAAGUGUUUCAUAAGCACUCGUCUUAUACACUUCAAACUUAUUAUUUGAUUUUUUUUACAUUCCUGUCAUCUUUUCUUAAAAAAAAAAAAUUUGUUAGAAAAUAUCAUGUACGUCCUUUCCCUUUAGCCUAGUAACGUUAUCGAAAAUUGAUUCACUAAAAUUAGUUUCUCCAAUUAUUGGCAGGUGGAACAUCAAAAUGCCAACAAUUGUUAGUGGAUCCAUAUCAAUAUUAUCUGAUGCUGGAUUGGGAAUGGCUAUGUUCAGUCUCGGUAUAUAUUUAUCUUCAGUUGAUUUAUUGUAUUGACCUUAUUGUACCAUAUGCAUUUCAAAUGAAUCUUUCUUGUUAACUAAUGAUAGAUCUAUCAAUUAUCACUUACAAUUCCAGGAUUAUUCAUGGCUUUGCAACCGAAGAUCAUAGCUUGUGGAAAAUCUGUUGCAACAUUUUCAAUGGCUGUUAGGUUCCUAACCGGCCCAGCAGUGAUUGCUGCAACUUCUAUUGCUGUCGGUCUUCGUGGAGUUCUGUUGCAUGUUGCAAUAGUUCAGGUUCGCCAACUCAACCUUUCCAACCAUUCCCACAUUUCUAAAAUCUUAUGUUAACAUUUUUUUGUCAAAUAUAUGGAAACCGUUAGUGUGUAAGUGUUUAUACUGAAAUAGCAUAAGAACGAAGUGUAAAACUGAGUUUGAAUGUCAGCCCUUGGAUUACAGUCCAAGUGUGCAGCUAAGAUGUAAUCUUAGGAUAAGUGAUACUUUAUGCCAUGUGUCAUUACCUCAUAGGGUAAAUGAAUGGAGAGUUAGAUUUGAAUGAUGUAAUGAGGGAAUAUUCUCAUUCCCUCUAACGGUUACACGUGCACAGAGUGUAAGUGAAUGAAUAAAGUUGCACAUUUGCUUCAUCUUCAAGCUCUCUCUCUCUCUCUCUCUGAAAUCUCUUUCUCGCAGUUUCCAGUUUCUUAAAUUUCCAGCUCCAUUAAUUGUUGAUUGUAGCUUACAUACAAGAUAACAGUCUGUGUAUACUAAUAUGGUAUCAGGGCCAGGUUCGGGCAUGUGCAAGCUAAAGGCUUGUCACCAGGAAGGACUUGCAAACAAGCUUGGACUCUUAACAUAGAGUCGGUCUGUUCCUGAAAAAUAUUUAAAACAAGUUUGGACUCCAUUGGAGCCGACCUCUGAGUUUCCAUUAUCAAUAUGUGGAUCUCCACGUGUGAACCAUUAAAUGAGGUUACGCGUGAGGGGGAGUGUUAAAUGUCCCACAUCGGUGGAUUUAAAGUAACCCAAUGGGUUUAAAUAAAACUACCCUACUCUAACUAAUACCGAGGCUUUUGUAGUAAAACCUCACACCUAACGGAUUGGAUAGGUGGUAAAGUUAGGGAUAGUAUCAGUGUCGUUAAAGUGGGGGCGGGUCCGGCGAUCAAAAAAUCCAACAUUUGCAUCAUUAUCCAAUCACAAAGGCCUCACAAACCCUAAUACAUAUAUAAUACAAAGCUUAAUUUAACACAACGUAAUUCGAUAUGCAAACUAUAUAUGCCACAAGAUUACGUAUGUAAAUAAAUGCUUAAUUUCAUUUUUCUUUCUGCAGGCUGCUCUUCCUCAAGGCAUAGUUCCUUUUGUAUUUGCCAAGGAAUAUAAUGUCCAUGCAGACAUCCUUAGUACCGCGUAAGUUUAUGUAUUUAUUUAUUUAUUUGAAGAAGAAAACCACAAAUGACAUGAUGAAAAAGGGACAUGAUUUCUAAAUACCCAUUUUUCUUUUUUCUGCACAUUCAUGUUCAUUGUUGUCUUUGAUUCUUCUUUAUUUAUAUAAUCUCAACAUAAAAAAUAAAUAAGAGUUACAAAAGCAUAAUAAAGCUGUGCGGAAGUCACUUUCCAUGAAAAAAGACUCUGACUCGUAUAUUAUGGUGUUGCAAUUAUUGCAGGGUUAUUUUUGGAAUGCUCAUUGCCCUGCCCAUAACAAUACUCUACUAUAUCCUUCUCGGGCUCUAGUUUCUGAGAUAAUCAGGACAGAGGAAAAACACAUACAACUGCACAUCCAACUCAGGCUUAGGUGGAUGGAGAGGAUCAAAAUGUCUUUAACAAAGAAAAUCAUAUGCAUGCCAUUGGAUUCAGUGUUCAACAAAAUACACACCAUCCUCGGCAUGUGACAACUGAGUAGCUUGAUAUGCCGUUUACUUCAAUAAUUAGUUUUUCUCCCUCAUGGUAGUAUUAUAUUAUUUUGGUUAGAUAGAAAUUAAGUAAUAGAAUAGAGCUUAGAAUUAGCCAGAGAAAGGUUAAUUAAUUGUUACUUCUUUCUUUUUAUUCUUGGGGUGCAAAUUUUUGUGUUUAUCAUAUUUGUUACCCCAAUAUCAAUGUAGCUCUUUGCUUAACUUGGACACAAAAAUCAUCCAAUAUAUAACUACGUUCUCUUAUUUUUUGUUUUUUGGGGUUUGAAUCAGUAAAUUGAAGGCACACUGUUUGAAGUUUCUGAGAUAUACCGUUGACUUACUGCUGAGGUUAUUGUUGACUCUAUUCUAUAAUAUAUAUAGUUGGGAAAUAACUUCUAUAGUUUAAUUAAGAAGUUUGUGUUAGGCACAAAAAUUUAAUUAUUUCUAUUCUCGCAAAAGAUAAGAGAACUUUUCAUUUGUUAACAUUACAAAGAGAAUCCUUUUAGGAUCCUAUAUUCAUACAUAUUAUAAUUUCUUCGGCACAAUGGAUGUAAAAUUUUACUAAACCAUAUACAAAAUUGUGUUCAAAUAUGUCCUAGAUUUGCAACCCGUCUUCGAUAUCUAAAGAAGAUGUCAGGUGUCUUUUAUAAUAGUCGAUAUAGGAAUUUGGAUCUCAUUUUUUAUGGUUUGAAUUGAGGUUUUGAAAUCGCCUUCACUAAUAAUCUUGUUUAGUCGCCUCUCAAUUAAUUUCUCCUUGUAGUGCUUGCUUUAAAACCAAAGUUUCAGCGUGCAAACAGAAGAAUAACAUGUAGGAAAGAGCUAGCUUGCAAUACUUUGUUAUGAAUAUGAGUUUUUUCGUAAACAAGUUUAAAUUGUAUCUCUAAAGAAAGGAAAAAAUAUAUAUAACUAUUGUAUAUUUAACGGUAUCUGCAUGAGUAUGGAGUUUCUAUCAUUAUAUACAGAAGGAAAACAAAAUCCUUGAGCAAUAUCCUCUUUACUCAACAAUGUGCAUCACACAAAACUAACACGAUGGAUGAUAAAUCAUGUUAUGCUACGAGAUAUUUUUUCAAGCGCCGAGUGUUAGUAUUAUUUAUUUGUAUGAUGUAUUUUUUCGUGUUCUUCUACUUAUUUUAUGACACGUAAAGUACCAGCUUGAAUAUCAGUCAUUUGAAAAUUUUCUCUUAUAUAUGCUACUUCAUGACUGUGUGUCGAAAAUUGUCUUGCGUAAAAAAAAAAAAAAAAAUCUUUAAUAUUUUGAUUGGACGCAAAGAUGGAGACGUCCUAAUUAAGUCUGAGUUUCCCUACUUUGCAUGUGAAUGUAAUUUGAGUUGAAAAUUAGUCGUUAAUGGUAGAAAAGAAAGGCCUAGUUAGCUUCAAUGCAUAGUUCCAAACAUUGCCUUUUUAAAAAGCAUUGCUUUGUGUAGUUUUAUAUGUUAAGCAUGUGACCGUACAGAUUAAAAGGAGGCCGCUGCUUCGCAGAGUGAAUAAAAUUUAGCUUCACAUUACAUUGUUCUUGUAGGUCAUAUAUAAUGCAUUUGAAGACAAAUUUGAUGGUUUUAUAAAAUUACAGAGGACAAAAGCAUUUCGUCAUAUUAUACAUCCAUGUCUUGAAUUCUGCAUUAUCUUAUUAGACAUACUAAAAUAAUUGAAAAGAUAUGCAGCAUACAUACAUAUAUAUUCACUGCGUUCCAAAACCUUUUAUUAGCACCAAGUAUUGGCUUUUAAUUUAUAGAUUCACCCCUUCCAGUUCAGAUCCACAUAUACGCUAUCAAUCAUUCAAUCCUAAUGUAAAGGGAAUUUUCCCUAUACAAAUGAAUAUCGGUCAUGGGGUAGGAGAGCCCUCAUCAUAACCAUGAUCCAUGUCAAUGUAUUGCUAAGGACAUUUUUUUAAUUUCCAUUCUAAUGAAUCGAAACUGUCUAACUUUAACGUUGCCUUCUAAGAACCAUCCAUUCACAAAAUUAUCUAUAAGCAAGAUCGCACAGUUUAAAUAAUUUUUCAUAAAAAUGGCAUCAUAAAAAUGGCAUCGAAACUGUCUAACUUUAACGUUGCCUUCUAAGAACGUUUCCAUUGCACCGCAAUAUAUAGAUGGACAUGUGUAUAUAAAUUACCAUUAGGUUAGAUCAUGAUCCAAAACCAUGCAUGUGUUGGGUUUCUUGGUAUCACUUCAAAGGUGAUCUUGCCAGCUCUUCUUAAGCAUAAACAAUAACUAUGGGAUUUAGGAUGAGAUUCUAUGGGAAAUUAAUCAAUAAAAUGGAUCUGAAAGCUUUAAGACGUUGGACAACGAAAAGUAUAUAAUUAUUAUUUGUUAUUCAUCUAUGUUAUUAUUGACAUCGUUUGCAUUAUAUAAUCUAAUGCUUCCUCACGUGAUGAAGCAAAGGAGUGUCUUCUAUAAUGUUAAUUAGACUAAAAUUUCAAGUAUAUUAUGCUUAGUGCACAUGAAGGUGUUUUUCUUUUUAAAUCCCUGUCUUCUCCCUGAUACGUGUGCUGCAAUAAACAAAACAGAGUUAACAGCUCCUGUAAACCUUAUUGUGGAUAUCAUGAAUUUUCUUCAGCAAAAGCUGUGGCCCAUGUGAUGCGGAUGUGGAUUGCAUGGCUGAGUUUCUCUGUGUGCGUGCAGAUCAAUCUAGUUGUAGUUAUUAUUGUUUUCUCAAACGAGUUCCAAUUUCCAAGGUUCAAGGCUUCAGCAAAUCAAAUUUCUGGGUUUUCUGAAUUAUAUUUAGAAGUGUGUGCAGUUCAUUUUAUUAUACAACUGGGGUUUAGUCGUUUUUCGACAGUUUUAUUUACAUAGCAGACUAUGUGCUUUUACUAAAAACCAAACAACGCUGUUCUAGACUAUAUUUCGUUCAAUCUCGGUUCUUGAUUGCUUUUGAUAAAUAAAGAGGAUUCAAAUUUGAGAUUGUUUUCAACAUUAAAAGAGAGAUACAACACCAACUAGACUAUUUCAAAGUAACUGCCAACAUUUGCAUCCCCUUGGCAACUUAUAUCAGUGGUCAUUCUUCUUACAAAGUAAAUAGCGGUUCAAUUUUCUAGUUUUGUCUGCAAUUUAACCGGAAUAAGAAAUCAAUACUUCGGACCACACAACCUACAUUGAAUGCGUAGUAACUACAAAUAUAUGUAUAUACAUAUAUAUAUAUAUAUAGGGAAGUGUUAUCGGCACUUCAAAAAUCUCAUUCUACACUCCUCUUAAGUGUAUUUUUAUUUCUAAAUAUAAAUAGUUUGGAGUGUAGAAUAAUCAAUUUUGAGUGUCAAUAACAAUUUCCUAGAUAUAUAUUGCAAAUUUAAAGGAAUGUUGGAACAAGUUAUUAAGUAUGGGUCAUGACUGAAGAUAAACUAAUUAGCAGCAGUUACUCAAAUCUCGAGUUUUUAUGGGUACAGUUUGAAUGCUAAAUAUGAGAAUCCUUAGAAAAUGUUGCACCAACACCAAUAAGAAAGUAGCGUUCUGGUUUCAGUUUCCAAAUAUAAAUAUUUUCAUUGAAAAAUCACAAUUUUUUUUCAUGAGUAAUCAACAUAAGCCUAAUUAUUUCGAUAGUGCAACAAAUAUUUGUCCCAUGUGAGAAGACUGUAACACAUAGCAACUUGUUGAGCAACUUAUAUAGAAUGGGUGCAAUGCAUAUCCUGCCAGUUAUGUGUUGCUCUCCACAUGGCAACGUAUUGUACCCGUGUCAUGAAAAUUGCUCUCUUGAUGGAGCGUGGACAACAAAUAACUAGGAAAAUAUUGAACAAUUGGAAAGAUGAUUUGACUUGUUGCACCAAAACCACAAUCAAAACUUCCCAAAAUCAACGUCUAUUCAAAGUCGACCGGAAACCAGUGAAAUUUAGCAUUCAAACAAUCGAAGACAAACAAGAGAAAAUUUGAGAAUUUUGGUAAGAUGAAUUGAACCCUAAAUGCAUAUCUGCAGUGAGUGAGCGAUCAGGGAUUUUAUUAUUACAACCAUGAAUAACACGGGCAAAGUCACAUUGCUUAGUGUUGAAACUUGAGUGUGCAUUUAUCACGUAAACGGUCCAUUGGGCCUCAAUAAGUUUCCUAGUGCAUUUGGGCCUCUAUAAGGGUUAUUUAGGCCUAAUUGGAGAGAAAUAAUACAUCAACAACAAAGUCUUUUCCCACUAAGUGGGGUCGGCUAUUAAUUGGAGAGAAAUAAAAAGAAAAAUAUAAAUGAAGUUCAAAUUCAAACCUAAGUUGCAUUCUCUAAAAAAAAAAAAAAAAAAAAAAAAAAAUCUAAGUAGGUAUGCACAUUUUGAGAUUUUGAAUAUUUCAUCAUUUCCCCCACUCCCUCAAUAUUUGGUUAAACUGGAAAUUUAGCCCAUCCUACGGUCCUACCCCUAAAGUCAAUUAACUUAUUCCCAUAUGCUCUUGAACACCUUCAAACUUUAUACUUUUUUCAACAUUGAAAGAGAGAUGUGUGGCAAAUUCACAAAAAGUUAUUCUGAGCAUCACAUGUAAAAGUUUACAAACAUUUUUUAGACAUAUAAUAACUUUAAAAAUUAAAUCAUGGUUUCAUCAUUCAUAAUUUAUAUAACAAAUAACAAUACAAGUUACAAUUGUUUGCGACGCGUUUUUAUAUUCUGAAAACACUACAUUAUAACCUCAUUAUCAAUAGAAGAAAAAACAUUGCUCUAAAUAUAAACUAUCAUACUAUCACUCAAUCAUUAAUCUCUCAUUCGGUUAUGCAAUAGACUUUCUUAAUAUUCAUAACGGAAAAUACUAUCUCCUGAAGCAAUAGCCACCUUUAGAACCAAAGCCAAUGCAAUUUGCAAAUAUACAUGAUUAUAUACUUUAUUCCUCUUCUCAGCCCUUUUUUUUUUUUUUUUUUUUUUUUUUUUUUUUUUUGCAAAACUACCAAUUCCUUUUACUUGAGAAAAUUCACUAUUUGAAUGCAUAUCAAGAAUAUAAUGCCCAAGUUGACAUUUAAAAAAUAAUAAUAAUAAUAAUAAGGGCAACUCCUCUUAUCAUGGAGCCAAGUUCCAGAAAACCUUCUUGUUAGAAAUAAGUCAACAAUCUGUGAUUUAUUAUAUAUGAGGAUUGAUGAUUUUCAGUGAUAUGAAUGAUAUGCAGAUGCAUGUAUUUAUAGUGAGCAUAUGUCUGUUUGCAACAAACAUGUUUUUAGGAGGCGACUGUUCAACGUAAAGGGCAUGUUGCUCCAUCUGUUUCUCAAAUACGCUCUCAGACUUCAUCUGAAAAGAUGAGUCUUUUCAUAAAUAAUAAAUAAUUUAAUUAAAUUUGAAAUUAAUUAAAAAUAAUUAAUUAAAGAAUUUAAUUUUCAGAGGCCCCAAGGCCCAGGCCCAUCUUUUUUAUAAUUAAUUAUAUAUUAAUUUAAUUAAUUAUCAAUUAAUUAUUACACCCCAAAGCUAACCCCAAGGGGUGAGCCAAUUUUGUCUCCAAAAGUCCAUCACUCCAAUCACUUUCUAUAAAUGACAAAGCCUUAUAAAGUGAGAAAAUCUUGUGGUGGUGAACAAUGUUGGACAAUGAAAUUCCACUCAAAAUUUCCAACAAUUCUUACUUUUCUAAGAGUGGAUUGAACUAUCAACUCCGGGCUUCGUUCUCCUUUUCUUUAUUAAGCUAUCCACGUAAGUCUCAAUCGGCCGAAAUGAACUAGAGGACUUUGUGAGACCCCAUUCAUUUGCUAUCUAUCUCUCUGAAUCCAUUUCUGCUACGAAGAGGAAUGUUUAGAUCUUUCAAUCUUAUGACGGGUGCUCGGAUUUUCUCAUUUGAAUAGAAAAGGAGUCAAGCUGUUGGAUGACAUGUAUGAAGAGCAACUCCAACCACUAAAGGGACAACAUCUAUGUCAUCCAUGAAGAUUCACCUGAGUUCAAAGGGUAGGUUGACCCCCCCUCCCCUUAAUGGAUCCGCAAGUGAGAGAUACCACUAACGUAACAACUAGUUAGUAAAACUAUAAGGAUUGAUCAUGAGUUGUAUGUAAAUCUAGUUGGAAUGCAAGGGUAUGCGAUCCAACUUUUCAAAGAAAAUAUAAAUACGCAUAUAAAAACCGAAACCCUAAUACAGAAGAGAACAACCCAAGUAAAUUCAACUAAAAUAACUUCAUUUAUGUGCUACUUGUGCCUCCUACAACAAAAAUCUCUUUUACCUAUUAGAAGGUAUUCAUGACUUGAGAACCAGAGUAGAAAUUAAAAAAGAGAUAAACAUGUACGGAAAAUGAGAACCUAGACACUAAAAAGUUGAUGGAUUCUCCAUGCUCCCCUUCUUAAUUAACUAGUCUAGUCUUCAUCUCUUUGGCUUCUUAGCUAGUGUGAGAAACAUAAAAAUAAAAAUUAAUUAACAAAUUAGGAGACUAAUUAAUUAAUUAAUACAACAAAGGGAAAGAGAGAAAGAGGGGCCAGAUAGUGUGUCCUAUGGCCAUGAUGGAAAAUCAUCAUAUUUCCUUUUGUCUUUGAGCAUUUGUGCUAGAAUGUGGCCUUCUAACAAAUCGACCCUGAAACAAAAUAAGAAAACCAAUAUUCAGUCCCUGAAACAAAAAGAGUUUCUAUGAUGGGGAACAAGUACAAGUAAAAUGAGGUUUUGUGUUGUAAACGUGAGCGUAGUGAUAUUAGUUAGAGCGGAAACUCCACAAGUACAAAUUUUUCUUUCCACAAUUCAAAUUAGGCUAAAAUAGAAUAUAUCACUUGUAUUAAAAUAAGCUUCGUUUUAUUCUAUCAAGAUGAUCAAUUUUUUUUCAAUCGAAUUUCUAUUUUUUGUUAAUAAGAUGUUGUUUACGUAGAUCAUUAGUUACUUCUCUAAGUAAGUUUUUACUAACAUGCAUAUUAUCAAAAUAUCCACAAUCAGAAUUUGGAUUAUCGAUAGUAUCAAUUAUACGAAUAAUGUUUUACACAAGUUCUCUUCAACUUUCAAGGGUUUCAUUUCGGUGCAACGUAGCAUGAAAUGCUACGAGUAUUAGAUGAUAUAGAUUCAUGGGACCACAAUAAAAGCAAUAAUUUAAAUCAAUUUAGAUCAUCCAAUGCUCGUAAUAUUACAUGCUGGUAUAAUAGGAUGCUAUGUAUUAUGGAAGAAUUUUCUCAAAUGCGGACAUGGAUUGCUCACAACUUGAACUAACUAAUAAUGAGAGAAAAAGAUAGGGAGGGAAAAACAAAAAAAGGAAACAUAAAUACUAGUCAUGAGAAAUGUGUUGUAAAGCAAAUCAUCACAACCAUCAUUACAUCUUUAUUUAUCUUUUAUUUAUGGGAAUUGUUAUUGGUACUCCAAAAAUCUCAUUCUACACUCCAAACUUUCUAUAUUUGGAAAGAAAAAUACAAUUGUGAGGAGUGUAGAAUGAGAUUUUUGAAGUGCUAAUAACAUUUCCUUUAUUUAUUUCUUAUUUAAUUUGAAACAAAAUUAAUCAAUUCGAGUGUCAAGUCUACUCUAUUUUAGAUAAAUUAGUGUGUAUCUUAUCUUUUGUAGAAAAAAAAAAACGAUGAAGAAUGUUUUAGGAGAACAGAAGUACCUUCAUUCUGGGUCGUUGAUCGGCAUUGACUUUUCUAACUUGGUAUCUGAUCUUCUUAGUGAAGAGGCGAGUACGACGUUUCUCCUUGUAGCGCAAGACGCUAGCCUCCCUCAAUCCUCCGACGUCUGAGAAUAAAUCAAUAUGCGCUAGCCUGGCCUGCCCAAAACAAACCCAUUUAUCAACAAAAUAAUCAUUUAGAGACAAAAUGAGAAGGACACAUCUGUCAUUCUAUCACAUAUUUUGUAUUUUCGCAAAAGAUUAUAGACCCAGAAAAUGACCAAUGCCGCCUUCAAUAAAAUAAUAAAUAUUAUGACUCCAAAAGGAAGAAGAUAAUGAAUUCUAUGAUUUCGACCCCAAAAUGAUACUAUGAAUAAAAAAUGUAAUUAAUCGUAUAUUGAAUAUUAAAGAUAUGCUUUGUUUUAGACUAAUAAAUACUUUGGCACUUACAGCAAAGCAAUCGACUUGGCAAAGUUACAAGUGAUUUUUCCGUCAUUCGAGCCUAAAAUAUUGUUAAGUCAGAGGAAAAAAAAAGCUUAAAAUUUUUAUAAGUUACUAAUUAUAGCUCCUAAUUUUCUAUUUUUAUAUAAGUUAAGAAAUGUAACGGAUGUAAAAAUAUGAUUAGUUACUAAUAUAGCAUUACGUGGGGUGCGUAGAAUAAUUUAACCAACUUUACGACCUAAAUUUUUAAGAGUGAAGAUUUAAGGAACGUCAAAAAUGGUAACCAAAACAAAAAUGGAUUAAUAAAAAACUGAGUUCAUUUUAUAAAGGACCCACUUUAUUAGACUGACAUAAAAAACAGAGGAGCAGAUUUUUUUUUUUUAAGCUCCAGACUUUGAACAGGUAUAAGUUUUCCCGGAAUUCGAUUCCCCGGCAAGAGAUGAGAAACGUACAGCGACAUCAUUCCCCGCCGCAUCAGAUCCCGGCAUUUCCUCCGAAAACGGCGACGCUUUGUCCGACCAGGCAUUCAAAACGUCGUCGUAGUCCAACUUCAGCUUCAGCCCGGGCUCUUCCUCCGCCGGGGGCUUGGGAAUCGGACUCGCCUCCUUCGGCGAUUCCGCUGUGAUUCUCGAUUCCAAGACCGACAGUUUCUCCACCUUCUUCUUCUUCUUCUUCUUGGCUGUGGCCGCUGCCGGAGCCGGGGCGGAAGAUGACAGAGAUUUGUUGAAUCUGGGCGAGAUUUCAAGAACAUCUACGGUGGGAAAACUCCACCAGUUCCCCUCGUCGACGUGCCUCAACGGCCUCACUCCUCCUCUUCUCGACCCGAACUCGAAUUUCCCGCCAAAUCCGAGCCCUAUUGGGUACCCAUAACAGGAAUUCCAAGUCGAAUUCGGUUUUGGAUUCGAAUUCUUCAUUUGCCCACCUCCGCCAUUGUUAGACUCCUCCUCCAAGUCCAUGUUCACACUCAUACUUCCCAUGAUGCUAUCAAUCCCCUCUUCAAUUUCCUCGUCGAGAAUCGACUCCGCAUCGAAAUCUUCCUCUUGGAAAUUAUACCCGUCACUCAACUCCAUGGAAUCGGAAUUGCAAUUCGGUGGGGACUCGAAUUCCCCCGGACUCCGGCACGGCUUCUCGAACGAAUUCAGGGACUUGGGCUCGAAUCGGGAACUGGAUUUUUCCUGGAGUUGGUGGUGGAGCAAAAACCCGGAGUUUUCGGCCUCGAUGACUCUGAACGGCAGGAGCAACUCCGCGGAUUGGUCGAAGAAGGAGUCGUGAGGUUUGGUGAAUUUUCUGGGAUUUGUGAAACUUUUGGAGGAGAAGAUGUUGGGGUACGCUGUAGAGAGCAAUGCGGCGGCUUCAUUGUAUGUUUGGUUGGGCCGUUUUCGGGGGGUACGAGGUUUUCGUGUCGAGAUUGCGAGGCCGGAGUUGCUGGAUUCCGAGAGAGUUGAGGAGGGAGAAGAGGUGGAGGUGAAGGUUGAUGUGGACGGCGAUUUAACUAUGUCAAGCUCGAAGGCAUAGGUUCUUCCGCCGCCGCUUAGGCACGAAGACAUUUUGAUGAUUCCGAGGAACAACAGGCAAAGACAGAGAAUUUAGAAACAAAAAAUUCAGAUUCUUCAGCUGAAGAACACACAAAACAGAGGAGAUGAAGUCAUGGAAUUGUUGAAUUCAAGUUGUUUGGAGGACUAAAAUCUAAAAAGCCAAAAUCUUUACUCAAAAGGUACAAAACCCUAAACCCUAAAAGUAGAGGAAAGAAAAGGUAUUGGGUUUGAAAUGAAAAGUGGGAAAGGGCCAAGCAGCUUUCGUGUGAUUAAAAUAGAAAGAACCACUGAGAAAUGGGUUUUUUCUGGAAUUGCAAAACUGGAGCAAGGGAAUUAAAAUUUGAUGGGACACAUGUUGAAAGGUUUUUCAAAAAAAAACCCCAAUAACUCUUCUAUUUUCUCUUAAAAAACCAGAGUAUCCCAAAACCCUAGAGAGAAAAGAAAACCCAGGUGACUGAAACUAUAUCGAAGGGAAUCAGUAAAUUGGGUAUUGGCUGAUGCAGAAAAAGGAAUUUAUAUAUCCCAGAAAGGAAAGUUAUCCAAUAAAGAAAAUCGAAGACUCUGUAUAUACUGUGAAAAUUCAGCACCAAAAGAGGGGAGAGAGAGAGAGAGAGAGAGAUGGGGAGAGACAGAGGAGGUGGAUUUUUUGCAGAAUAGGUCACGG
RNAcentral lists this long non-coding RNA (63877 nucleotides) under Malus domestica (apple). Its description in RNAcentral is "long non-coding RNA (MDOM_LNC012387)". The record is from RNAcentral. Lineage: Eukaryota; Viridiplantae; Streptophyta; Magnoliopsida; Rosales; Rosaceae.